UUGGAGGAGAGGGAUAUGUGCUCUUAACCACUUAAGUCACAAACUCCUUACAUAAGUAUUUGACUACGUAAAAUAAAGUUUACUGAGAAUGGUAACCAUGCGAAAGGGAUUCAAGAAAUCCAUCUAAGCUGGUGAGGUUCUUGCUCUUUAGAAAAUGGGAGUACCAAUGAGCAGAGAGUUUGGGUUGUCUUUUUAAAUCAGGGUCGUCCAAAUCGAUGUAGUAUAGGCCAAAGCUUGAUUCAUAGCCGUUCAAUAGCUCAAGGGAGUCCAUGAAGGACCAUAUAAAAUAGCCUCUGGCAUUUGAUCCAUUCCUUCCAAAAGUAAAGAUUUCAUAGCAUCCGUCAGUGAUUAAGAACAAGUACUAGUUAGCUGUCAAACUAAGGUAUAAAACAAGAAAAACCACUUAAGAAAAAAGCAAAUAAAGAUGAUAUCAGAUAGUUAAAGACUUCAUAAGUGGUGAACGGUUAUAGCCCAGUGAAAAAGACCUUGACUAAUGUGUGUGAGAAAUCCUUCAUCGCUUUAUAGUUUAGACUAUCACUUGUAUAAAAAUAAAAUAAAGACUUCACAAGUGAAACAUAUCUUGCCAAUUCUCACUUUGCCUAUUUAAACAACAAUUUGGGUCAUGGUCUUUUUUCACUGGGUUAGGAGAUGAAGGAUUGCAUGCAGUUUGUGACUCUUGGGUCAAGGUCAUAUGACUCUUGGGUUAAAUUAUAAAGACCUUGACCCAGUUUGUUAUUCAAUUUUGUUCAUGGAAUUAAUUAUUAGUUACAAGAGAAUAAGAUAAGUCAUAUGACUCUUGGGUUAAAUUAUAACUGGCAGAUAAUAGGUAUACCUUACAGCUGCAAGCAAACUUUGGAUAUGUCCACGCAAAUAUUUUACCCUCGACCUAUCCUCCAAUGAUGAAUUGCGUGCAGUUUGUUGACCUAAAAUAUAUAGGAUGCCAAUACUUUUCCAUUUAGAUAAUGAGAUAGAUGAAAAGAAUAUAAACAUGAAAAGCUAUAAUGCCACUACUUCAUUAUAAUAGCCAAAAUUAAGUCUUUGUACUCUAUAAUUUUCAAUUAGGUUAUAACAUUAUCAUCUAAAUAUAUGACUUUAUUACAAAAAGAAGAGCGAAACUAAAAGUACCACUAAACUAAAUUGCAAAUUGUUCCAACACUGUAUAUUCAAAUACAUGCAUUAUAGCACUACUUCGAUUAAAUUUCAGCAUUUAGAUAGAGAGAGGGAUAUACCAUUUUCAUGGAUAUAUAUAGGGGGAUUGCCAUAAUUUUGCUUCAUAUAUUCCAACAGUCUUUGCAGGCCCCAGGGAGCUAUUGGAUACUACAUCAAACAAAUGCAUUAGUAAUGCUUGAAAUUAACUCCAUAAAUGGUUAAAUGACACUAACUUAACCCCACAUCGAAAAUUUGAAAAAAUAAAUACAAUAUAUAAUGAAUGAUACCACUCCUAAUAACACCGAGGUUUUUUGAUAAAACAACACACCUACUGGAAUUUGUAAGUGGUUAAGUUGUGAAUAAUAUCGGUGUUGCUAGUAGUGGGUCGAUAACCCAUCUCUCUAAAGUUAACAAGUUGUUAUGUUCAAAGUUUUACCUCGAAUGAUGAUUCAUUACAUUUCAGAACUGCACAAAUAAACUUUGUAAGUUAAAUCAAUAAUUAUAUCAUGUCUUAACCAAGACAAAACUUGCCCCAUAGUGACCAAUGCGCACACUAAAGCAGUACAAAAAAGAUGUAAUAGAUGAAUCAUGUAACAAAAACCAAUAAUUUUGCGAAUAUUUAAUUAAUCUCGGGGGAAACCUUGAAGCCAAUAAUUCAAAACUUCAGUUUUUUUUUUUUCUUUUUUUAACAUGCAAUAGAUAUUUACCAAUAUAUUUUCACAGAGGCUGGGCUAAUACAUCCACAAAGUUAUGCUUCCUACCAUAAUGGGAUUAGCCGCAACUAGACUGUUAAAGAUUGGCUCACCAUAGAUGCAGGAGGAAGAGGAAUCGUACAAUCCCGACAACUGGUCGUCACGUGAAUAGUGUCACGCGCUGUUUUUGGCAUUUUGGCAUGUUUUGAUGUGGUUUCCUAUUAUUUUGGGGUUUUCUAGUACAAGUUAAUAGGGUUUUAGUUUCCUAUUCCUAGUAAACUUGUAACCCAAGUCCUAUGAGUUAUAAAUAAAACUGUUAGGGCUAGGUUAAUUUAAGAGAGGAGAAUUCAAGAGUGAAUUUUGAAGAGAGAAACACAAGAUUGAAUUCAAGGGUGAAUUCUUGAGUAUUUACAAGGGCAUCAAAGGGUUUGAACAAGGGUGUGAGAGAAAUUAAGACCUAGAGUUUGAGGUGAUAGAAAGCUAAGGGGAUUCUUGUUGUAACCAAAGUUCUUCCUGUUCUUCUAGUGAAAUUUCUGGAGGGGGUCACCGAAGAGAACGUAGGCAUGAGGCCGAACCUCUAUAAAUCUUUUUGUUCCUGUGUGUUUGCUUACUCUCUUUGUGGUGUGUGUUUGUGUUUUAUUCUCAAAUGGUUUGUGUGUGUGUCAUCGCAUAGUCCAUCAAUGACAAAGUCUUGGAGUGUUUCCGCACUACAAGUGGUAUCAAAGCUGCGGUUCGUGGCACGCUCUUAUAGUUUUAAGAGUGUUUGCAAGUGUUGAUGAUGGCGGCCGACAAGAAUGCGGUGGGAGAAACCUCCUAAAUGAAGACACCACAAACGAAUAGCAUGAAGCUCGAGGUGAAGACAUUCACAAGGAAGGAGAACUUCACACUAUGGCAAAAAAUAAUGAAACAUGACCUAGCCCAUCAAGGUCCAACUAUUAUCUUGGCAGGCGAGGAGACAAGACCUAAAACCAUGACAAUGAAGGAGAGGGACAUGCUCGGCAAGUUGGCUAGGAGGUCCAUCAAGGUGAUGGAAGACACCGCAAAGCAAACAUAGGAAAAGCUCAAAUGGAUAUUUGAAAGAAAGUCCCUAUCAAACAAACACUUCAUGAAGGAAGCGCUCCUAAAUGUUCACAUGGAGGAGGGUGGAAAUCUCAUGGAGCAUCGUAACACCUUUAAUAGGUGUAUUGAGGACUUGUAAAAGGUUGAUGUGGUUUAUAGCAUGGAGGAUGAGGCGUUGAUGUUGUUGGCAUCGUUGCCUCCGUUCUUUGAACAUUUUCGGGGGGCGUUGAUGAUCGACAAGAGUACUCUCAAUUUUAAGGAGGUGGUGCAAGACUUCGUGCAUCACGGGUUGGCUCAAAGUUCUGGAGAUAGCUCUCAAGGUGCGAGUCUAUUAACAUGGACCGGAGAAUGGUGUCGUUCAAGCAAGCACAAGGGUAAGAAAGGCAAUGGGAGGAAUCCGAAAUUUAAGGAAAAUGAAGUGUUCUUAAAGUGUGGGUCUACGGACUAUUGGAAACAGAAUUUUUUGAUAUGGAAGGAGAAACAUAAUAAGAUGAAGAAUGCUAAAGGUUCAAGUAAGAAUGCUAAAGGUUCAAGUACAGCAAAUGAUGAACUUUUGACAGUUACGGAUGAGAAGCGUAACAAGGAAGUAGUGGCAAAUUCUUCGGGUAAGAGUUCUACUUUGGUUUAGAUUUUAGAUUCUAGAAUCUCAUUUCAUGUGUUCUCAAAUAGGAUGGAGUUUGACACAUACGAUGAAAGGAAAGGUAACAAGAUUCUAUUGGGAGACAAAAAAAGUUGUCAUGUUUUGGGCAUGGGAACAAUGAAGAUCAAGAUGCAAGAUAGUGUUGUUAGAAGCCUUAGUGAGGUAAGGCAUGUACCGACACUAAGAAGGAAUCUUAUUUCUCUUGGUUCCUUAGAUAGAAAAGGGUAUUCGUACAAGGUCAAAGAAGGAAAGCUCUUAGUCACACAAGAUUUGGUUGUGGUUAAGAGAGGGAAGAUUCAACCUAGUAUGAGGGGGAAGAUUCAACCUAAUAACGGUUAUUAAUUUUUGGGGGGGUACAAUAACAGGUAGAGUAGUAAAUUUUACCGAGGAGGAGUUUUGUACCAAGAAAAAAUGGGCAAAAGAUCUUAUUGUCAAGGAGCCUGUGCAAAAAAAAGAAGCUAAAGACUAGAAUGGCAAGGAAGGUUAAUUAAGGUUGUAUGAUUAACAGUUUAUCAUCAAGAGUACUUGAUUUCAUAGGUGUAAAAGUGGCGGUAUAAGAGGACAAGGCCCACAAGGGUGAAGUCGAGACAAGGGAUGAUGUGGAGAAUAUUGUUGGGUCGAUGGAAACUGAAAAGAUACUUCUUACCAAGGUGAUCAUAGAAGGGACUCUAAGACGGAUAGAGCUUGACACAAGGGUUGAAGAAGAUAGGCAUGAACAACAAACUCACAAAGGGGUUCUACUUGAGGUGCAGCCUUCACCACAAGCAAGGUCUGAGCCCAAAGAAGCCAUCAAACUGCCCCAAGGGUUUGGAUAGAAGGACAAGGUAGAUUCAACUACGUUUUCAGAGUGCUUUCGGGAGCAUGAAGCGAGAAAGUUAAACGGGUGCUUGGAUGAAAAGGAAUGAGCUAGUUCAUAAAUUCAAGAGCAAAGUUGGUGGUUGCAUGAGGAUUUAUAGAACAAGGGUUGAUAUGCAGUUUGCAUGUCAAGGUGUAUCAAGAAGGCAAGAAGAAAGAAGUUCGGCAUGAGGGAUCUCUAUUCCACACAAGAGGUCUGGGUUGCCAAAGUUUAGCUUAGGUGGAGCACCUCCUCACCUGAGGUGCAUUAAGGCAAGAGGUUUGUUGCCAUGGUGGACCUCUUAGGAAUAACUAGAACGGUUUCUAAGAGGUUAAAAAGGUUCUAGGAGUUAACCAUUGUUCAUGGCUGAUUGAUGGUUUGCCAGGGUAGAGAUUGUCGAAGAUUGGCUCAUCAUAUAUGCAGGAGGAAAAGGAAACCCAAGGCUCUGCAAGGAUGGAGUAGCAAGGAAGCAACAAUGUAGGUAGCUGGUCACUGUUGGCCAGGUGACUAGUCGAUUUAGGCCGAGAGCUCAAAGUCGAUUUUAUACUCCUUAUCGACCGAUCGUCCAAUCCCGACGGCCGAUCGUCACGUAAAUAGUGACAUGCACUGUUUUGGCGUUUUGGCGUGUUUUGAUAUGGUUUCCUAUUAUUUUGGGGUUGUCUAGCCUAAUUUAAUAAGGUUCUAGUUUCCUAGUAACUUGUAACCCAAGUCCUAUGAGUUAUAAAUAGGACUUUUAGGGCUAGGUUAAUAUAAGAGAGGAAAAUUCAAAAGUGAAUUUUCAAAAGAGAAACACAAGACUAAAUUCAAGGGUGAAUUCUUGGGUGUUUACAAGGGUAUCAAAGGGUUUGAGCAAGGGUGUGAGAGAAAUUAAGACCUAGAGUUGAGAGGAUAGAGAGCUAAACGGGUUCUUGUUGUAACCAAAGUUGUUCCUAUUCUUCUAGUGAAAUUUCUUGAGGGGAUCACCAAAGAGGACAUAGGACGGGGCCAAACCUUGAUAAAUCUUUGUGUUCUUGUAUGUUUGCUUACUCUAUUCAUGGUGUGUGUAUUUUAUUCUCAAGGUGUCUGUGUAUAUGCUGUCGCAUAGUCUAUCAACGACAAGGUCUUGGAGUGUUUCCGCACAAUAUCGACGUUGAACUCUUGAAUUCCUUUUUUAUUUUUCUUUUUUUAAUGAAACAGAGGUAAGGACCCCAAACAAAUAACUCUUCAAUUCCUUCAAACAUAGAACUUCGACAUGUUAUCUAUUGUUGUUAAUUAGCAUGACAUAUUAGUACUGGAGAUUGGUUUGUUUCAGAGAUUGGCCACAUUGUGAUUAUGAAUUUAAAAGCAUUAGAGGUAAAUGAAUCAUUUUGGAUGUUUUUUGUCUCUUACAAUCAUCGUAUACUGGUUCGUGAACAGUUGAUGCAAGAAUUGAUAUUGGAAUGAAAGAUCUUCUAAAUGAUGAGCUAAAAGAAAUUGAAUCCACAUACGUGUAGCAAAAACUAGAUUAAAUUUUUAGGGCUCAAUAUAGUUUGAUAUAUAAAUAUACUUAUAGCAAAAACUUACGUCUCGUCUUCAUUGCUGAGUCAGCAAUAUAGUCUCUGUUUGUACUCUUUAAGCUGAUGGAGUUGUCCUCGGCGUAUGAGACGGUAUAAUAAUUAAAUCCUAUGAAGUCAAACGAACCCUUGACACUUUGAGACUCAAGCCUAGUGAAGAAAGGAAUUCUAGAGCCUGCAUUUGUUUUCACUACAUCAGGGUAAUCUCCAAACACCAAGGGAUUCAAAUACCUGCAACACAAAAUAGACACAAUGAGUUUGCAGUUAAGACAAGUAAAUAAUAAUUGAUAUAUAUAUAACGUGCAGACAUUCGGAACAAAGAAUAACUGUAUAUAUAUAAUAUACAGAAUUCUCUUAUGCGGACGUCCGGACGUUAUUAUCGUGCGGACGCCAUAUAUUUUCUACUAUCCCUCCCUGCUUUUCUCCCUAUUUACAAUGUCAUCUGCACGAUAAUAACGUGCAGACAUCUGGAACAGAGAAUAACUGUAUAUAUAUAAUAUACAGAAAUUCUCUUAUGCGGACGUUCGUACGUUAUUAUCGUGCGGACGCCAUGUAUUUUCUACUAUCCCUCCCUGCUUUUCUCCCUGUUUACAAUAGCAUCUGCACGAUAAUAACGUGCAGACAUCCGGAACAUAGAAUAACUGUAUAUAUAUAAUAUACAGAAAUUCUCUUAUGCGGACGUUCAGACAUUAUUAUCGUGUGGACACCAUGUAUUUUCUACUAUCCCUCCCUGCUUUUCUCCUUGUUUACAAUGGCAUCUGCACGAUAAUAACGUCCGAACGUCCGCAUAAGAGAAUAACUAUAUAUAUAAUAUACAGAAAUUCUCUUAUGCGGACGUUCGGACGUUAUUAUCGUGCGGACGCCAUAUAUUUUCUACUAUCCCUCAUUGCUUUUCUCUCUGUUUACAAUGACAUCUGCACGAUAAUAAUGUGCAGACAUCCAGAAUAGAGAAUAACUACAUAUAUAUAUAUAUUUGUUCGACUGGUUUUACAUAGUAGCUUGAUCAUCCAAACUAUCUAUUUUUUAUGUUCCACUCAAGGAUCACCCUGUACUAAUAAUCUACCAAAUUGGGCUGGAAAAUGACUACAAAAGAGAGAACAGAGAAGUUGCAAGUUUAUGUUAAUUUCAGACUUACCAACCAAAAUAGAAGUCGAGGCCUCUUUGGGUUGCUAGUUCAUCUUCAAUGGUUUUUGUUUGAGGAAAAAACCAAAAGGCAAAAAGGUUGAUUCCUAUAAACCCACGUUGUUUAUCCUGCAUUCCAAAAGUAUUGAUGUUACAAGGAAUAAUCUUUGUCGUAUUAGGUUGGGUUUCUUUUAACUUCUUCAUCAUAGUUUAUAACGGUCUGUAUUGUAUGUUUGAGCUUAUAAUUGUUUAUGCAUUUCCACAUAGUAUAUGUACAUUAGAAGGAGAGGCAUCAAAUUAAUAUUGCAGAGUUUUCUCUGUUUCUACUUCUCAUUUGCUCUCAAUUUCUUAUUUCCUCAACCUAUCUCUAACUAUUCUCUUUGUUAAAAUGCUUUAUGUUCUGAAAUUAAAACUCGAAGACCUAAGUAACAAGUGAAAAUUAGCAGCUGUGACACUUAUUAAUCUGUAUUAUUUCUUGAUUCAAGGACGUAAGGACACCAUUGCAAGAACAACAGUGCUUGAAGCAUUUAACAUGAAUUUGUUUUCUCUUCCAAUUACCUGGUAGUUUUUCUUGUACAAUCUAGCAGCCGACGCAUGAGAUAACAAGAUAUUAUGCGUUGCCAAGUAUGGUUCUGUUGAGGAGUUACCCCUAGAGCAGUUGAGACCAAAUGGAAUUGAACAUCGUUGUGGUGGAGAAAAUCCAGAAUCAUAACCCCCAAGUACAAAAACAUUAGGUUCAUUCAUAGUAGUCCAAUGCAAAACUCUAUCCCCGAAAUUUUUGAAGCACACAUCUGCAUACGCAGUGAAGUCUUUUCUGCAACCACAAAAUUGUUCCAUCAUGAUCUUUCCCCUUUUUCUCCUGAUGCAUUGAAAUUACGCAAAAUAACAAAAAUAGGGUUAAGAAACCAUACACAAUCUUUCGGCUAACCCAUCCUCCAUACUCAUCAUCAAGUGCCUGUGGGAGAUCACUAUGGUGUAAAGUAACAUGUGGUUGGAUUCCUGCUUGAAAAAUAAAGCAAUCAGACAUCAAAUUACAGAAUUGUUAGAUUGGUGGAAGUGGUACAUGUUUCUUAAGGCAUGUUUACUUUAUUAGGAAUGGGUAUUGGAAUUACUCAAUUCAUGUCUUCCCCCGCGUUUACUAACAUAAAAAGCAAUCCAAAAUUAUAUGGGUUGCAUGCUAAACUCGCGAAUAUCCUCAAAAAUAGUAAUUGGAUAAGCUACCUAGUUGAUCUGAUUCCAAUUCCUUAAUUUAGUUCCACGAUUCAUGACUUCCUCCAUUCCCAAGUAAACAUGCCCUAAGAGUAUAACCACUCCACAAAUUCGAAGGAAAAUAUACAAUGUAGUAUCAUAAGAUAGUAACCAUGGCUGAUUAGUUGAUCAAUAAGAUUGUUGUAAUAUUGUAGACCCUUUGGAUUGACAGGUCCUUUUCCAUCUGAAAUAAAGAAAUUGGAUAUUUGAGUGCGUGAAAACUUAAGCGUUGUUUGUUUAAUAUGAGUAACAAUUGGAUGCUCAUGCAUACUUGGGAUAAGUCUUGACCAUGAGAUGGAAAAUCUAUAUGCCUCUAAUCCAGUAUCUGCCAUUAGUUGAACAUCUUCCUGCAACAGUUUGAAUGAACAUGAUAUGAUGUAUGAACAUCAAAUAGCAUCAACAUGUUCCUAAUUAGUUAUUUAGGCAAUAAAUCGUGUGAUUACGUAAUUGUACGGAACAUAUGGUAUGUUAUAUUGCCUCCCAAAAGCUAUAAAAACCUCUUGAAUACUAGCUAGUCUUGAUAUAGUAUGAAUCUCGUGAUUGCAUAAUUGUAACAUACAUGUGAAUAACUACUAGUCCUGAAACCUCUGAACUAAAAGAAAAGAUUAUUAGCAAUAACUAGAUUGAAUUUUACAAAAUAUAUACCUUAUACUUGUGAUACGCGUCACACGCUACAUCUCCAGUGGCUCCAUGAAAAUGACCUGAAAGAUUGAGUUAAGCAAUGACCUAACAGGGAUCAUAUACACGCAAGUUAUCAUGUUAGUUUGAAAAAUCCACUUUAUCUAAAUGUUUGAUUAGUCGAUUAUAUUAUUAAUAUGGAUUAAUUUUAUUUAAUCCACUUUAUCUAAAUAUUCUAAUUUUCUAGUCAAUAUAUUUUGGUAGGACUUGUAUGUAACCACCUAGAAUAGGAAUGGAACAAGGUACCAAAAUAACCCACAUUGAAAACACUAGAAAGGGUACUGGGAGGAAACCAGUACUUAUAAGCUCACACUACUAAUUAACAAUUAGAAGUGGUUGGACAUCUCAAAUUUUUUCAGAUGAAGUCUGCAGAGGAUGGAUCUUCUUUAUUCUUGGAAUAGUUAUGUACUAGAGAAUCACAAAGAAAAACAUGUUUGUUUCGCUAAUUGUGAGGGCAAAAGAUUUUGAUUUCCCUCUAUAUUGUUGUCAAAAAGAUUUCAGCCUUAGUUGUCCUUCGCCAGUGAGAGCAGACCUUUUUUUAUUCUCCUCAGUACAAGCGAUAAUCUAGACUACAGGAGGAGGAGGAUUUCUCAUACACACAACCAAGAUGCCAUGAAGAUUCAAACAUAAGACCACUAGGCUGCCACUCAAGGUCCUUUUUCAGAUAAACGAUAAGGAUACCGGCAUAAUACAUACCCAACAACCUCCAAUGCGUAAGUUAGGUACGUAUUGGGUGUGUAAAGGUAAUUUCACAGACUAGAUUUAGGGUCCGUCUCUGCAUGUCACUUUGUGGAUAAGGAGGAAAAUAUUGUUAAAAAAACAAAAAAAACAAAAAAAACCAAUAACUAAUUAAGUAACCAUAACUUUACUCUAGAGUAUGUGAUAAAACCGUAAUUUACAAUAAUAAUAUGACACGACACUGUCACAGUCCUGAUCUCUUGGACUACAAGGGUCCAUGAGAUGUGUGGUCACUCACCAUUGGAUGUAAAUUCAACGGUUCACUCACUCUUGUAUUCCUUUUAAAAAACUUUUUUGAACCAUUGGAUUAACAUCCAACGGUGAGUGACCACAAUCUCUUGGACUCCUGUGGUCCAAGAGAUCGGGACUGGACACUGUCAUGUAUUUUUUUUAUUAAUUACAUAGUUUGUCUCAAAAAAAAGAAAAAAAAAACUAACAACAAAAACGAAUUGGGUUAACAGUCCUGAUCUCUUGGACUACAGGGGUCUAAGAGAUUUGUGGUCACUUACCGUUGGAUGUAAAUUCAACGGUUCACUCACUCUAGCACUCCUUUUAAGAAACUUUUUUGAACCAUUGGAUUAAUAUCCAACAGUGGGUGACCACAAUCUCUUAGACUCAUGUGGUCCAAGAGAUCGGUACUGUGUGUGCCAAUAGAAUAUGUGAAUUACUAUUUUGUACCUGAUCACUUGUGUUUAUGAAUUACUUUUUCUUCAUACGGUUUUGUAUCCAAUAUCUAACGGUGGGUGAACACAAUUUCUUGGACUCCUGUGGUCCAAGAGAUUGGGACUGCCAAGUCAAUAUCUAGGCAAAUCUCCACUAAUUUAUUCAUGAAGAGGUUAAAUUUUUUUAAUAAAAAUAAAAACUAAAAAAAAAAUUCAAAAUAAAAGCAUAAAACCCAAUAUUGCUACAAUCUAACCUGACCUCGCCAACCAACUAACAAAAAUGAAAAAAGAGCGAAAAAAAGAAGAAGAAGGAAAAUGUGAUAAGAAAGUAGUGGGAAGCUAACCAGCUUGCGCAUAUGUGUCCAAGAUGCUCGGGGUCCUGCCAUCUUCGCCUGCAGCACCUUCCACCUUUUGUCAUGUAGAUUUUUUAAUCAACCCAGGUAAUAAUACAAAUGAAAAGAAAUUAGAGAGAGAAAAAGAAAAAUGAAAAGAAAUUGAGAACCUGAUAAGCAGAGGAGGAAGCACCAAACACAAAGGCCGGCGCCAGUGGGAAGUCAUCUCUGCAAAAGUUAUCAGUGCUUGAAGAAACGCUUUUUAUAGUAAGAAGAAAACACAGCAGAAGUGAAACUCUCAACAUUAAUUAUGGAAAAGACGAAAGCACAGCAAGAGUUUGGAGAUUCUGGUUUCUGAACUUAUAAAAAGCAAAACUUUUGAAUGAGAUUUGAGUGGUUACCCUUUAGUUAUCCUUACUUUAGCUUACCCUAAAGCUCCACGUUGAUAAAGCUAGAAGACUCCAAAUUACUUUAGAAAGGUGUUGUGUGUUGAAUUGAAGACUUUUCAUUUGUCGAGUGCGGAAACUUGUCAAAACGGCCGAAAACUGUUGUCAAAUUAAUUGAUAAAGGUUGUGCGAAGCCCCACUGCCAUGACUGGCUUGAAGUCAAAAGCCUUUGCUUUCUCCCAGUGGCAUAGGAAUUCUCUCAUAGAGAGUCAACAUUAUUAGCCUGAGAAAAUCGUGAAUUUUAACAUAAUAUAUUUUUUUAAUUGUAUAAUUUAGGGAAAUAGAGCUUAAUGCCACCAGUUCUUUAAUUUUAACAAAUAGAAAAAGAAAAAAAAUUACAUUACUUCUCUCUUCUCUCUCCCUCUUUCUUUCUCUCUACCUGAGUCUUGACCUUCUCCCCCACCAACAGUGGCGGAUCCAGGAUUAUGUAGCCAAGGGGGCUUAGUGUAAAAGUUCUGAAAUUUUUCUACAAAGAAAAUAAUGCUAAAAAGAUAGAAAGAUAGUACUUCCAUUCAUAAUUCAUAACAAAACCAAUAAUACAAGUUACAAUUGUCCACGACGAGUUUUUAUAUUCUGAAAACGUUGCAUUAUAAUUUCGUUAUCAAUACAAGCAAAAACAUCUCUCUCAAUGUAAACAAUCAAGCUAUCAUUCAACCAUUGAUCUCCCAUUCUGUUGCGAAGUGGAUUUUUAAUAAUAUUCAUAGCGGAAAAUGCCCUCUCCACUGAUGCAGUUGCAACCGGUAAAACCAAAGCCAAUGUAAGAAGCAAAUACACAAAAGGAAAUAUUUCAUGCAUUCCUUUCUCCACCAUUUUUUCCGCAAGACUAUUAAUCCCUUCCAAUUGAGAAAAAUCACUACUCGAACGCAUAUGAUGAACAUAAAUACCAAGUUGAUCUUCAAGCAUCAAUAAGUCUCUAUCCGAAAAAUCAUAAGGAUAAAAUUGAGCAAGACGAACUAGCUUUCGUUUGUCAAAAGCCACAAAGUUAUUUUUUGGACUCAAGCAUGCCAAACAAGUAAGUAACUCAGUACUUACCUCGUUGAAGCGAUCAUUUAAUUCCGCAAGUUGCCCAUCAAUUACAUGAAUAAAGAUCUCCACAUGAUAACGAUGAUAAUUUGUCUUCAUUGGAGCAUUACGCCGUGAUCUCCCUGGAAUUACAUAUUCCUCAUCCAUGGUAGGAACUAUAAUAUCAUGUUUGUAACAAAACGAGGAUGCUUGCUCAACCAAUUCUUCAAACUCAUUAUCCCUCAUCAACUGCAGGUUUUCCUUGCAUGUUUUCACUAAAUUCAUUGCACUCACAAUGUCUUGAUCUUUCUUUUGCAAUGCUAGAGACAAAGUGUUUGUUAUUCUCAAUAUAGCUUUCAUUAUAAAUAAGUGAAACACAAACUCAAAAGAUUGUAUUUCUCUCCAUAACUUAUAGGCUUCACCCGAACUAUCAUUAGGAUUAUCAUCAACAAUCAUUUGAAGCACAUUCACCACAGAUGGGAACAUAGAAAUGAUACUAAUCAACGUACCAUAAUGUGAGUUCCAUCGUGUAUCGCCGGCACGUUUGAGAGUCCUUUCUUGAUUUAAGCCCCGCCCCGUUAUAAGACAAUCAUCUUCAAAAGCUCUCACAAGCUCUUCUUGGUAUUGUGCUCUAAGUGCAUCGCGACGCUUACAAGAUGCUCCAACCACAUUAAUCAAACUAUUAGCCGUUGUGAAAAAAGAGUUGACAUCAAUGUUUUUCUUUGCUACCGCAACAAGAGCUAGUUGAAGUUGAUGAGCAAAGCAAUGAACAUAAAAUGCACAAGGUUGUUCUCUCAAAAUCUUUGUCUUAAGGCCAUUGAACUCACCUCUCAUAUUGCUAGCUCCAUCAUAACCUUGUCCUCGUAGCUUGGAAAAGCUCAAAUUCGCGGAAGAAAAGAAUUCAUCAAUUGCUUCCUUUAGUGCACUUGAAGUAGUGUCUGUUAUAUGUUGAACCCCCACAAACCUUUCAAUUAUUUGUCCUUUGUCAUUCACAUAACGCAACACCAUCGCCAUUUGCUCCUUUAUUGAAACAUCACGUGCUUUAUCCACCAUUAUUGAAAAAUAUCUAUCUUUUACAUCACUCAAGAUAAGAUCAAUGGUUUUUUUGGCACAAGAAUUGACAAGAUCUUUUUGUAUUGAAGGAGCUAUUAACUUUAAAUUUCCCGGAGUAUUUUCCAACACAACGGCCUUAACUUUUUCAUCAUGAUCCGCAAGAAAUUGUAAGAGCUCUAAAUAAUUCCCUUUAUUACUUGAUUGUGCACUUUCAUCAUGACCACGAAAAGAAAGCCCUUGCCGCAACAAAUACCUAGUGCACUUAAGUGAUGCAUUCAAGCAAGUGCGAUAAGCCGUGCGAGCUUGGCUUGUUUGCUUGAUCACAAUUGUUUCAAUGUGUGUAGUUUGAUGCAUCAAAUUGUAAGCAACUUCUCUAGCUUGGUUGUGAACACUACCAACCGGUCCAAUAUGAAGGUUAAAUCUUUCUUUCGCCUUCUUCCAAUUAUUGAAGCCUACCCCAGUGAAUGCAUCACCACCCACUUGAUCAAAAUUAGAUUUGAAGAGAUAACAAUGAAGACAAAAUGCAGCAUCUUUAGCAAUACUAUAUUCCAACCAAUCAUGAUCAUCAAACCAAUGAGCAAUGAAGCGUCUAUUAAUUCCUGAUUGAUUAGUUUGUGGGAAUUUAUAACUUCUAGGUUGACAAGGUCCCUUUUGUAGAUAUGCUCUUCGGAUCUCAUCCCUAAUAUUAGGACUAUAAUCCGCCAUUCGAGUUCUUAGUCCAGGGUCUGCUUGAAGAUUAGCUAAGAUCUCAUCUACAUCAAUUGGUCUUGCAUUUGAACUACCCGGAUUAGACAGAGAAGAACUAUCCGUAGAUAAUUUUCUUUUAAAGAAUCGUUCCAUAAAUCUACAAAUCAAUUAAUUCAAUCAAUCAUUAAUUUUUAUCCAAAUUAUCAUAUGAAUAUGAAAAUUUCAAUAACCCACUCUCAAUAUUCAAUAUACUCCCUAAACCCAUAUCAAUCAAUAUUCAAUAUACCAAAUUAUCAUAUCAAAUAGCAAUCAAUAUUUAAUAUACCCAAUCAAUUCAUAUUAUCAAUCAAGCAUAAACUCAAUCAAUCUACAUUAAUAUGAUUAUCACUAUGAUUCAUAUCCAUAAAUUUAAUUACAUAAAAAAAAAAUAUCAAUAUGAUUCAUAUCCAUAAAUUUCAAGCAUAAACUCAAUCAAGCAUAAACUCAAUCAAUCAAUAUGAUUCAUAUCCAUAAAUUUCAUUACAUAAAAAAAAAAUAUCAAUAUCAACAAUAUAUAUUAUCACUAUAAUUAUUAAUAUCAGAUUUUCCAUGCUUACUUACUUGUAGUUUAAAAAAUGGGCGGCGGACGGCAGUAGAAGGUGGUGGUGAUCGGCACUGGACCACCGGUGAAGAGUUGAUGGAGGUUGUCCAAGGUUGGGAGGUUGGGAGGUUAGGGUUUGAGAGGAUGGGAAGAGGGGCUGUGGAAUUGGGAAUGAAAGGUUUGGAGAAAAUGAAUCUGUGCAGAGCUGCUGUGCGUGUAUACUGUUCUGUUUUUUUUUUGUUUUUUUUUUUAAAAAACCUGGCCCAAAACGACGUCGUUUUGAGGCCAGGUCAAUUAAAAAAAAUUUGACUGAGCCUUGACCAAACGACGUCGUUUGGCAAGGCUGGUUUUAAAAAAAAAUUACGCGCAGCGCAGCUGCGCAGUUGCGCAGGACAUUUCGUUGGGGCAUUUCGUCGAGCACAUUGUGUGCAUACAAGGGGGCUUCCAGCAGCUGUCCAAGGGGGCUUUCAUGGACUCCCUUGCCAAAUUUUCAGCCUUCCAAGGGGUCGUCCGACCCCUCUUGUCCCAACGUGGAUCCGCCAUGGGCCACCAACGAAUAGGUAAACGUUAAUUGUAAAGAAAAGCAGCAAAGUACAUGCCAUUACAGAAAUUUUUGUGCUUGAAUUUUAAUUACUGAAAUUAUGUGCUUGAAUUUCAAGCAGCAAAGCACACUCCCAAAUCGAAAGGCAAACCCAUUCAAACAUCAUACAAAUCAAGAGGGAUAAUAUCCAAAACCAUUCAAGAAAUCAAAACCAAGAGGGCUGGGGCGCUCCUUUUGUUUAUAAAUUAAAUUUUGUUUUUGUUUUAUGGUUUAGAAAAGAUUUGGAGUUUUUGGGUUCUGUUUGGUAGGCAAGAAAAUUGCAACAGGAAGUUGAGAUUUUAGAGGUGGAUUUGGUUGGGGAAGGAGUGGUUUUGAGGAUUUUUAAGGCGGCGAUGCUGGUUAGAUGGAAGGGAGGAGCUGGCGGGGACACUACUACAUUUUACACUUUGCGCAACGAAGAGAAUUUCGUCGCGCAAAAUACAUUGUAGUCGCACAAAUUUUAGCGCGACAGAAACUUAGUCGCGCAGAAUCCGUCGCACAAAGAUCGUGAAGAAACACUUUGCGCGACCAAGUUUUUUCAUUGGUAGCGCAAAGUGACCUUUGAGCGACGAAAAACAUUGGUCGCGCAAAGUUUUGCGCGACGAAACACAUUGGUAGCGCAAAGUUUUGCGCGACAAAAAACAUUGGUCUCGCAAAGUCUUAAAAAAAUAAAUAAUAAAUAAAAAAUUCCCCCGUCCCAUUUUUGGUACCCGCUCAAAAAUAAAAAAUUCCAGUGUCCCAUUUUUAGAGUUUUGCGCGACGAAAUAUUUUUUGUGUUUUAAAUUUUUUUAAUUAAAAUAAACUAAUUUAAUACUUUGCGCGACGAAAUAUUUUGUCGCGCAGGGUUUUUGACUUUUUGUUUUAUUAUUUCUUUAAUAUUAAUUUAAUUAAUUAAUUUUUUUUGAAAUUUUACUUUUGAAAUUUUGUAUGAUUUUUUUAAAUUACUUUAAUUUAAAUUUAUAUUAAUUUUUUCAAAUUUUUACUUUUUAAAUUUAAUUUAAUUGUAUAAUUUUUUUUUAAUUACUUUAAUUUAAAUUGACAUAUUCAAAAUAAAAUUACAUAUGAAAAAUAGUGAUCAAAUUAUCCAAUAAAUAUAUAUUCAAAAUGUACACAUAAAUUAACAAAUCCUAAUACAAGUGUAUUGUGGUGGUAGUGGCGGAGGAUAUGUUUUGAUAGCUUCCUAAUCCUCAACUUUAGCCGUCAAAGUCUCAAUGAUUCCCUACAAAAAAACAAAUACGGUCAAAUAACAAAAAAGAAAAAGAAAAAAAGAAGGCAUAAUCUCCCCAAAAAUUGUUAUACCACAAAUCCAACCCAAACUCCAAUCCCUCCCCUUUACUCAACCCCAAACCCCACACAAACUCAAAACUAACUCCAAAAACACAUAUUAAUGAAAAAAAUUUAAAAUUUGGAGAGAAUAUACCUUUUGGAAAGAUUGAGAGUGAGUGAGAAUGAAGUGAGUGUGAGAGAAUUAGAGAAGAUAGUGAUAGAGAGAUGAGAUAGUGAGUGAGAGUGAGAGAUGGUGAAAAGAGAGAUAAGAGAGUGAGUGAGAGUGAGAGAUAGUGAAGAGAAAGAUGAGAGAUUAAGUGAGAGGAGUGAGUGUGAGAGAAAUGGUGGGAUUUGGGGAGAGGGAAAGAAAGAGGAGAGGUAAGAGUAGAGAAAGACAUUGAGAAAAUGGUGGAGGAGUUAUUUCAGUUUUAAAAACCGUAUCACUUUGCGCGACGAAAAAUAUUGUUAGUCGGCAAAGUUUUGCGCAACGAAAAAUAUUGGAAUAUUAGUCCCGCUAACUUUUGCGUGACGAAACAUAUUGGUCGCACAAAGUUUUGCACGACGAAUAUAGGAAUAUUGGUCGCGCAAAGUCUUUAAAAAAAUUAUUAUAAAUAAAUAAAAAAAUUCCCGCUUCCCAUUUUUGGUACCGGCCAAAAUUUUUAAAUUUUUGCGUGAUGAAAAAUACAUAUUGGUUGCGCAAAGUCUACAAAAAUUACCGCAUCCCAUUUUUGGUACCCCGAAUUUUUGCUCGACGAAAAAUAUAUAUUGGUCGCGCAAAGUUUUGAGCGACAAAAAAUAUUGGUUGCGCAAAGUCUAAAAAAAGUCUUUUUUUUUUAAAUCCUGAGUCCCAUUUUUAGUACUAGCCCAAAUUUUUAGAGUUUUGCUUGACGAACUGUUGGUCGCGCAAACUUUUGAGAGACGAAAAAUUAGUUCGUACCAUAAUAUUUAUAAAAAUAAUUGUUAUGAAUAAUAAAAAAUAAAAUAUUUUUAUUUUACAAUUUAAAAUAUAAAUAAGGUUAAAGCUACAUAAUAAAUAUAUAUACUAUUCAAUUUCUUAAGUGUUAUACGUACAAAAUAAAUAAAUUUAAAGCUACUUAAUAAAUAAAUAUAUAUAUACACAAACCAUUCAACGAUCCAACUGUCAGACUUGUUUAUAUAUACUUCAAGAUCGUAUACCCUAAAAAACGCAAAAAAUAAACAUUCAGAGAUCUAGUAACGGGACAAAACUUUUCGAUGGUUAUAAAUGAAAAAUCACAAUUUUUGAUAUUUUUUUACAGCUACACUCCUUGACCCUAUAUGAAUACAAUGACUAAAUUUGAUCUUCAAUUUAAAAUAUUUACACUAGUGGAUACCACAAAAUCUUAUGUUAUAUUUAACCAAAGUAUAAAUAAACUCUUAGUUGUUAGUGAAUAUAUUUUUUUGAUGGCAUACGCAUUCUACGAAACUAGUUUCAACUAUCCAACCGUCAAACUUGUUUGUUUAUACUUCGAGAUCAUAUACGCCAAAAAUCAGAAACAAUAAACAUUCAGAGAUCAAGUAAUGGGAUAGAACUUUUCGACGGUUAUAAAUGAAAAAUCGUGAUUUAAUGGUUAUUUUAACUCCGAUUUUGAUGAUUUUUUACAGCUACACUCCUUGACCCUAUAUGAAUAUAAUGAUUGAAUUUGAUCUUCAAUUUAAAAUAUUUACAUUAGUGGAUACCACAAAAUCUUAUGUUAUAUUUAACGGAAGUAUAAAGAAACUCUUAAUUAUUAGUGAAUAUAUUAUUUUCAUGGCAUAUGCAUUCUACGAAACUAGUUUCAACGAUCCAGCCGUCAAACUUGUUCGUUUAUACUUCAAGAUCAUAUACGCCAAAAAUCAGAAAAAAUAAACAUUCAGAGAUCAAGUAAUGGGAUAAAACUUUUCGACAGUUAUAAAUGAAAAAUCUUGAUUUAAUGGUUAUUUUAACUCCGAUUUUGAUGAUUUUUUACAGCUACACUCCUUGACCCUAUAUGAAUACAAUGACUGAAUUUGAUCUUCAAUUUAAAAUUUUUACACUAGUGGAUACCACAAAAUCUUAUGUUAUAAUAUUUAACGAAAUUAUAAAUUAACUCUUAAUUGUUAGUGAAUAUAUUGUUUUGAUGGCAUAUGCAUUCAGCAAAACUAGUUUCAACGAUCUAACCGUCAAACUUGUUUGUUUAUACUUCUACACGCCAAAAAUCGAAAAAAAAUAAACAUUCAGAGAUCAAGUAAUAGGACAAAACUUUUCAACGGUUAUAAUGAAAAAUCACGAUUUAACGGUUAUUUUAACUCCGAUUUUGAUGAUUUUCACAGCUACACUCCUUGACCCUAUAUGAAUACAAUGAAUUAAUUCGAUCGUCAAUUUAAAAUAUAUAUUUUCUAACAAAAACCCAAUCCGAAUAAUAAUAAUAUAUUUUUCUAACAAAAAUCCGAUCCGAUCUAAAAUAAUAAAUUUAAAGCUACUUAAUAAAUAUAUAUACCGCUUAAUUUCUUAAGUGUUAUGCAUACAAAAUAAAAUAAAUAAAUAAAUUGGUUUAGGCGACGAAAUGUUUGGAUUACGUCAUGCAAAGAUUUUUAAAAAUAAAUUUUUAUUUUAUUUAUUUUUAUAAGGACUUUGCGCGACGAAGUUUAUUGUUUCGUCGCACAAGACUUUGAGCGAUGAUUUAUUGUCGUCGCGCAAAGUUUGUAGCGCGAAGUGACUUUGCGUGACGAAUUAUUUUUCGUCGUGCAAAAUUUGGUCGCGCAAGACUUUGAGUGACGAAGUUUUGAGUGUCGUCGCGCAAAGUGACUUUGAGCGACGAAUAGUUUUUCAUAGCGCAAAAUUUGGUCGCGCAAGGGGUUUUUUUUUACUAGUGGGAGGGGGUGAGGCAGUGAUGAUUACCCCAAGUGGGUUGGUUGGGGGAGGGAGUCGGGUAAAGAGAGAGGGGAGAGAAGAGAGAAGGGAAGAGAGAAGUAAUGUAAUUUUUUAAUUUUUUUAAAAUAAAAUAUUUUAUUAUAUUUUUCACAUGUGACACUUACAUGGCGUAUAUUUUAACAAAAGAACGAACCCUAUUUGUGUCACAUUAGCAUUUUUAACAGAAUUUUUGACAGAGUUAACAGUGGGAGGCAAAGUGAGCCACAAAAUCUUGGUCAAGGGGGUACUCUGGGUCACUUUAACUUUCAGGAAGUAAAGUAAAAUUUGACUAUAGUUUCAGGAGGCACUACAGUAAAUAAGCCUAAAAAAAAUUCGAAUAUCAUAUUGGGUUAGGAAAUUGAAAACACAAGGAAGCCUAUUUCAUUGUUUCUCUUGUCAAAUGGCCUUUUUUUCAAAAAGUGAAGUCUCUGGUAGCAAAGGCUUUUCUUGGUUUCCACCAAAGUUGAUGGUGAUUGAAUGCCUCCCAACUCCAUCUUGAAUUGGUUCUCCAAGUCACUAAAGAAAGUUACCUCAAAGUUUCUUCACCAAUAAGAGCUUCAGAAGAAGGUGAUGUAUCUUAGUGAGAUGAUUAUGCUAGCAAUCUCUCACCAAGAAGACCGGUUUUUGCAAGGGUUGAAUGGGAAAGCUAGAGCAGAGCUUAUGUAACAUCCUGACCCAAUUUUAACCAUUUAUUAAAUCUAUUUAAUUUAUUUAAUUAAAAAAUUACAAUUUUGUCCUUGGAGUAAGGUCACGAUGGUCACUUUUCGAUCCGUAAGGAUAUUGAGGAUUUAAGUGGCACCGUUGUGUAGAGCGCAUCGAUACAUUAAAAAACUGCUAAUAAGUUAGGAACAUACAUUAAAAGACUACAUAUAAGUUACAUACGAAAAUAGACAAGUAAAAAAUGUAUGUUACCUAUAAAUAAAAAAAGGUAUAUAAAAUACUAUUAUACAUUAUCGAAAAUAUGAAAAACACAUCUAUAUAUAUACCUAUGCAAUAGGCAAUAGAAUAAUAUACCUGCACCACAUGAUAAUAUAUCCAUAAGAGUAUGUGAUAUACAUCUACCAUAGGGUGAACAAAAAUAAAAAUUGUUACCAAUAACUCAUGUGCUAAACGAUGUGCUACUAUAUUUGCUUCCCUAAAACACUUGAACAAUCAGUAAUUCAAUCGCCUGAAGGCAAGAGAAGCAUGAUGAAACUUACAAAGGAUGGUCAACAACUUCUGUGCAAGCAUUAGGACAUCCAAUGGCCAUUGAUGGACCACGCUUUCUGGGAUGAAUGAGGUUGGAGUGCGAGUCACCAUCCAUAAGAGCACGGAUUCGAGUGAGCCCAACGAUGUGGUUCUUAGUGCAGCCACGACCAUUUGGCUAUCAGUAUCUCCACAAAAUGUGUUCAAUUUUUUCAAGGAUGAAAGAACUCACUUUGGGAAUGUUUGCGAUAUUUUUCUUUUCUAUUCAAUGACAAAUGUCAUAAAUGCCUAAUUAUUAUCACAUAAAUUACUAUUACCCAAUUCAAGGCAUAAAGGGCAACAUUGGAACCAAAAAUGAUUUAAAGAAAAUAAAAAUAAAAAGAUUAUAUCAUUAAAUAUUUUAAAACGAAUGUGAUCCUAUGUGGCACAAAAGUUAAAGGACUUGUAUCAAAGUCCCCAAAUUCAAAGAUUAAACCCAACUUCUCAAUGAAAAUUUGGAUCUAUAUCAACUUUUCUAUUAACUAAUCUUAAUUUUUGCUCCAAAAUACACAAAAUAAGCUGUUUUUAACAUUAAAUUUGCCAUCAGGGAUUUGGCCGCAAAUAUAUAUAACAUCCACAAGAUACCCCUCCAAGUACUACAACUGCCAGUGAAUCUCUCUUCUAUGAGAAUUUUUUUAAACAAUGGCCAAUGAAUCCACCAAACAAGUUUAUUUCUUUUCAAUGGAAGUUUUAUUUUCCCAGAAUGUACGUUACGGUAAUAUGUGGAAGUAUCAUCAUAAUUUCAUAGAGUCAUUCGGUAUGAAUGCUACAUGACACUACUUGAAAAUGAAAACGGCUCUUCUGCUCAUAAAUGAAAUGUUCCAAAUGUUCCAAUAAAUUGUUGCUCCCAUUGGACUAUUUGUAUCUAUAUGCAUUAGGAUCCCAAUGUUCAUUGAUCUCUCAGUUCGAGAAAUAAAAAUUAGAGGAGAAGCGAUCCUUGCAGGGCCGUCUCUGAGAUUUUGAGGGCCCUGUGCGAAACUUAAAUUAGGGCCUCACAUAAUCUAAUAUGAAAAUACUAUAAAUUGGUGUUGAAAUUCCUGAAAUUGAAAGAAUAACAAUAGAACCAAAGAGAGAUUGAUGAAUGAUGAUGAUUACUUAUCAGAAAAUCAGAGUUUAAGAGAAAGAAGCCAUGAAUUUGUUUUUGUUUUGUUUUGAAUGAAGAAAGUACUUUUCUUGGAGGAGAAACCUUUUGUUUAAUUUUUAAGAACGAUAGUAACAAUAUAAAAAUAGGCAAAUAGAUCGGCUUCAGAAAGAACCAAACUCUAGCCCUUUUGUUAAAUGAAUAUGCGCUCCAGCCAACCCCGCUAGACAAGCUCUUGUGCAAAUAGUCAGCACGCUAUACUAUAUAUAUACAAUUCCUAUAAUAUUAAAAUAUAUAUAUAUAUAUAUAAAGAAUUUUUUUUUCGGAGGCCCUUAAGAAUCGAGGGCCCUGUGCGGUGGCGCCACUGGCGGACCCAAUCAAAGACAACUGUGGGCUAGCUGCCCACACUUACCAAAAAAUCUUCAGCCGUAAAAUCCCACUUAAAUUCAUAAUUUUUAAUUAUUUUUAGGUCCCUUCCAAGUAAAGCCCCCACAUAGCCCAUUCAAUACACACUUAAAGCCCAAAACUUAUAUUAAAAAAGAAAAACCCUAAACCCUAUGUUAAAAAGGAAGAAUAGAGAUCCCAUCAAGUUCACUCAUUCUGUAAUUUUGUGGAGAACUCAGCCGCCAAACUUGUUAUUUGACAGAAGUCUACAGCCCAACAAAUCAAACUCGCUACUUUAAUUGAUUUUACAAGUUACUACUUAGUUGUUUUUUACAAACUAAUUUCAUUAUAUUCUUAUUUAUAUGCAUUCAAUUUGUACUGAUGAUCGAUUUUUUUUUAUUUAUUAUUAUUAUUAUUAUAUAUCUUGAUGAAAAAUAAUAUAAACUAUUUAUGACAGUUAUGGAAAAAUAUUUUAAAAGAAAAUCCAAGUUGGAGUUGUCAAGACCUAUUGGGAGAAGUGAUGAUAGUUCAAAGCAAAGUCACAUAGAAAUCAAUAUGUCAGAUCAUCAUUCUGAUUCCGGUUUACGAACUCGAAUUUUAGAUUACAAUCCGAACAUUCGAGAUGAAAUUAGAAGAGCUUACUUACAAAAAGACCCUUGUCAGCCUAGAAAUCAUGAUUUCCCUAAAAAUAAAUUUAGAAAAGAGUCAAGACGAUUCAACUCGGCAUGGUUUGAUGAAUUCCCUUAUUGGUUGGAACAUAGAAUCAAAGAAGAUUCUGCAUUUUGCUUAUGUUGUUAUCUUUUUAAAAAAAAUUUGGGAGAGAAAGUUGGAGGUGACUCAUUUGUUGGUGCAGGUUUUUCAAAUUGAAAGAAAAAGGAAAGAUUUCAAGUUCAUGUUGGAGGUCCCAAUAGUUCCCAUAACCAAGCUCUGAAAAAAUGUCAAGCCUUAAUGAAUGAAAAACAACAUAUUGAAAAUGUUUUCCAUAAGCACUCACAUCAAUCUCGAAUUGACUACAGAAUCAGAUUGAAUGCAUCUGUUGAUUGUAUUAGAUUUCUUCUACGACAAGGUAUUGCCUUUUGUGGCCACGAUGAGUCUGAGGAUUCAAGCAACCAAGGUAAUUUUCUUGAGCUUUUGCAAUUUCUUGUUGAUCACAAUGAGGAAGUUAGAGCUGUUGCUUUGAAAAAUGCUCCAGAAAACCUCAAAGUAACUUCACCUAAGAUUCAAAAAGACAUUGUAAAUGCUGCAGCAGUUGAAACUACUGAUGUUAUUAUUAGAGAUAUGGAUGAUGCAUUCUUUUCUAUUUUAGUUGAUGAAUCUCGUGAUGUGUCAGUAAAAGAGCAGAUGGUUGUUAUGCUUCGUUAUGUAGACAAGAAAGGAUGUGUGAUUGAAUGGUUCAUAGGUAUUGAACAUGUUACAAGUACCACAGUUGAGUCACUUAAAGUAAGUAUUGAUGCAUUAUUUUCUAGACAUAAAUUGAGUAUGUGCAAAUUACGAGGUCAAGGUUAUGAUGGGGCCAGUUAUAUGAGUGGAGAGUUCAAUGGUCUGAAGACACUUAUUAUGAGGGAGAAUGAGUCUACUUACUAUGUUCAUUGUUUUGCACAUCAACUUCAAUUGGCUAUAGUGGGUUUGGCAAAAAAGCACAGCCUCAUAUUUGCGCGACGAAAAUCUCAGUCGUCUCGCGGAAUAUUUUGCGCGACGAAAUAUUUCGUCGCGCAAAACGUGUUUGCGAGACGUAUAGGUUCGUCGCGCAAGAAUAAAAAGUAAUAAAAAAGUUGAUUUUUUAUUUUUUUUUGUUACAUACAUGUGGGUUUGCGCGACGAAAUGUUUUCCGUCGCGCAAAAAUAAUAUUACAAUUUUUUUUUGUUUUUUACUUUUUUGUUUUUUAUUUUUUUAAAAUAAAAUUGGUUUUUUUUUAUUGAUUAAACAAUGAAAUUGCAAUAAAAAUAAAUUAGAACAAAAUUUUGUUAUAAAAUAAAAUAAAUGUAUUACAAAUAAAAUAAAUGUUUAUAAUGAAAAUAAAUACACUAAUCAAAUAAUGAAGCAAAAUCAACCGGGUCGUCGCCAGUAUGCGGCUCGGAGGUCUGGGCGUCCACCGGGGCAGUGGUCUGGGCGUCCACCGGGGCAGUGGUCUGGUGGGCAGGCUCGGGGUGGACGGGCUGGGAGGUCGACGCACGAAACUGCAGGAUGGGAAAGCCUCCCUGUGCGAGGGACUGUAGAAUCACCGACAUCUGACCCUGAAGCUCGGCCACCUGUGCUGUCAAAGCAGUCACCUGACUGUUUGACUACGCCGAUGAACGAGGUCUAGGUUCCCUCUGCCAGGCAUUCCCCAUCCCUCGACAAUAUGUCCCCGGCCUCCUCCCGAGAGUCUGAUCCAACGUCUCCGUCAUGAUCUGAAAUCCAGCAUCCUGUGGAGGAGCCACAGACUCGAUCGGAGUCUCGGGAGGAAGCUGGGAGGCGGACUCCUGAAGAACCAGUUGGCUCCUCUCCACCAUCGUCGUCUGUUGAACAUAACAUAAAAUAUAAAUUAAAACAUGCAUAUAAAUUGAAUGCGUAACAUAAGAAUUAAAAUUAAAUAAUACUUACAUAAAGGGACUCGGCCAACUCAUUCCCGGGUCGAACAUAAACGUCACCAAAGACGUCGAUCUCUGGGAACUUGGACCCCUCCUAAAUUGAACAAGAGAAGACAAAUAUUAGUAUGAAAAAAAUAAAUUAAUAAAAAUGACAUUAAAAAUGAAAUAUAAAUUAUGUGAUUAUUACCCGUCGCCGUGCAUCCAUUCUAUACGAAAAGGGCCUAGAGCCGGAAUGGUGGAGAAGGGUCUUCUUCUUCCUAUUACCCUUAUUCACUUGGGCUUUAUUCUGUUAUACAAAAAAUGAAACGUAUUAGUUCAAAUAUAAAAAAAUUAAAUAAUAAUGAAAUAAAAAAAAUCAAAUAAACAUUAAUAAGAAAUAAGUAAUAAUUAAACAAAUAUUAUUUAAAAAAAAUACCACAUAUUCAGGCGCUUGAAAAUGAGCGCAGAGCCACUCCCAACUAUCCUCCCACCCCUCAAGCUCCUUCGGGCAACCCUCCUGAAGAGCGACUUGCGGAUCAUCAAAGGCCUGAAAAUGGUGGUGCAAGUCGCUCUUCCACUGCUUGUACCUCUCAGCGAAGAGUCUGUUGACGUACGCCAACGACUCUUCGUCGAGAUCCUCCAAGUUAUAGUUCGUCUGCAAUCAAUUAAUUAGAUAUGUUAAGUAAUAGAAAUAUACACAAUUUUAAAGAAAAAUAAUGAAAAUGUAAGGUAUAUACCGACAACUAGCCGCGAACCUCCACCUUGAUCUCGUCAGGCAUGACCCUCCAAGACUUCCAUUGCAUCGGGCAAUGAGUCUGCACGACGUGGCCAAUGUCGUGGGCCAAGGAGCUAUGCAACUCCGCCGUCGGUGCAGCCCGAUGGCGCUCGUCGUAUCCGAUGCUGAUACGACUGUUGGUCACCUGGGUGACCUUCGCCGUCUUCAGCUGACGACACGGCCCUCGGGUGUUCUUCUUCGCUGCAAAGAAAUAAGGUAUUAAUGUUAAAUAAACAACAUUGUCAAAUUUCAAUAUAAAAUUAAAAAUACAAAAGGGUAGUUAUACCUGGCUGUGAUCCCGAGGCACCAGUACCGUCGGUUGAUGUCGUCUCGGUGGUGUCGGCGGGCUGGUGCCGCCGCCUAGCACUAGCUGGCUGUGCGACGGAUGACGCAGAUGACGCUGGCGCCUGGGACGCCCCGGGACCAACCAGCACGUGGUCCAUCAAAGCUGGAGCAGUGGCAGCAGAUGCCGACUGAGCCGGGGGAUCCGAACUCGGUGCAGUCGUCAUCAACCUACCACGUCUAAUCAAGUCUGACAUCUGCACAUAUAAUUUCAUUAAGAAUUUAAACUAAUUAAGUAAAAGCAUAGCAUGACCUAGGGUUUGGAAUUUCGGAGUAUCCGGGACUCCGAUCAACGGUCGGUCGAAUCCUAAACGAUCCUAGAAACACAAAGGUACAACUACGUGAGUUUGAGUUCGAUCCAACGGUCCGAACAUAUCAAACCUGAAAAUCGCACAAUAGGCGAAAUCCGAUCAAGACUCAAACGGUAACCAAAUUCAAAUCCGAGCAAACCUACGCGCUCGUGACAAACAGGGGAUUGCUCUGGGACCCAAUGCCACACUGCCACAGAAUCCCACGCGCCACCACACGCGCCGGCAGCGCAUGGGUGUCCAAAGCGAUAACAUUCGCCGGAAAAUUCUAAAAACUAAGGGCCAAGGUUCCUACCCUAGGUUGAAAACAUUAAUUGGAGCCACUUUUGUUCUCGGACCUACCCCGAAAAAUGGCUGGAAGUGGCCGGAUUUGAAAUUCCCAAACCAUCCAAAACCUAGGGUUUUAAUUCCUAUUUCCUAUAGCGAAAAUUGAAGAAAUCCUAACCAACCAUCAGCUAGAGCACAAAAAAUAGUCGAGAAAUCAUACCUCAGGCGUCGGAAAUGGUGGCCGGAGGAGAGAGAAAUCGGCCGGCGAAGAAUCGGGAAAAACCGACGAAAUUGCGACGGCAAGCUCGACGGCGACGGCAGGGAGGCUACGGAACGAGCGGAGGUGGCUGAGGUGACGGCGGAGAGAGAGGGCUGAGGUGACGGCGGAGAGAGAGGGAGAAACGGAGAAAAACCAGAAAAUGGGGAAGAAGGAGGCAUCGGGCCGUUUCUGCAAAUUUAUUCGACUUUGCACGACGAAGAACAGAAUGCGUCGCGCAAAAUGGACUUAAUUAAUCUUGCGCGACGAAAAAUCCGUCGCGCAAUGUGUCCCACAACGCCAAAUUUUGAAUUGGGAUUAGGGUCUGUGCCUUUUGCGCGACGAAAAGGCAUAAGUUCGUCGCUCAAAACACUUUCUUUCCGCCUAAAUUUUGGGAUUUAGGGUUUAGCGGGAGGCUGAAAGUGAAGGGUUUGUGCUUUUGCGCGACGAAGACAGUAAACGUCGCGCAAGGAGAAGAUUGCGCGACGGAAUAUAACAUACUCGUCGAGCAAAACACUUUCUUUCCACCUAAAUUUUGGGAUUUAGGGUUUAGCGGGGGGCUGAAAGUGAAAGGUCUGUGCCUUUUGCGCUACGAAGACAGUAAACGUUGCGCAAGCAGACGAUUGCGCGACGGAAGACAGUGUAUUCGUCGCGCAAAACACUUUCUUUCCGCCUAAAUUUUAGGAUUUAGGGUUUAGCGGGGGGCUGAAAGUGAAGGGUCUGUGCCUUUUGCGCGACGAAGACAGUAAACGUCGCGCAAGCAGACGAUUGCGCGACGAAAAACAAUGUAUUCGUUGCGCAAAACACUUUCUUUCCGCCUAAAUUUUGGGAUUUAGGGUUUAGCGGGGGGUUGAAAGUGAAGGGUCUGUGCCUUGUGCGCGACGAAUACAGUAAACGUCGCGCAAGCAGACGAUUGCGCGACGGAAAACAGUGUAUUUGUCGCGCAAAACACUUUCUUUCCGCCUAAGUUUUGGGAUUUAGGGUUUAGCAGGGGGCUGAAAGUGAAGGGUCUGUGCCUUUUGCGCGACGAAGACAGUAAACGUCGCGCAAGCAGACGAUUGCGCGACGGAAAACAGUGUAUUCAUCGCGCAAAACACUUUCUUUCUGCCUAAAUUUUGGGAUUUAGGGUUUAGCGGGGGGCUGAAAAUGAAGGGUCUGUGCCUUUUGCGCGACGAAGACUGAAAACGUCGCGCAAGGUUCGCUAAUGAAAAUGAAUGGUCUGUGCAUUUUGCACGACGAAGACAGGAAACGUCGCGCAAGGUUCGCUCAGGAUUUUGAUUCGGUUGAAAUUUUCACUAAGUGUUCAAAGGGGAUGGAGGGGUGAAAUGUGUGGCCCAGAUUGCACGACGAACAGAGCUGGAUCCGUCGCGUAAUCUUGUCUUUGCGUGACGCAUAUAUUUAUUCGUCGCGCUAGUUCAGGAUUUUGAUUCGGUUGAAAUUUUCACCAAGUGUUCCAGAUUGCGCGACGAACAGAAGAUGGAUCCGUCGCGCAAUCUUGUUCACUUACGCUUUGCGCGACGAACAGAAUAUGAUUUCGUCGCGCAAAACCUAAAGCCUAAAAUGUAAACCCUAAACCCUAAGCCCUAACCCUAAACCCUAAAAUAGUUUCAAUGAUCCAACCGGCAAACUUAUUUUUUUAUACUUGGAGAUCGUAUACGCCAAAAAUCAAAAAGACCAAACAUUCAGAUAUCAGGGAACGGGACAAAAUAUUUCGACGGUUAUAAAUGAAAAGUCAUGAUUUAACGGUUAUUUUAACUCCGAUUUUGAUCAUUUUUUACAGCAACAUUUGUUGACCCUAUAUGAAUACAAUGACUGAAUUUGAUCUUCAAUUUCAGAUUUUUACACUAGGGGAUACCACAUAAACGUUAAGUUACAUUUUCACAAAUGUAUGAACAAAUUUUAGGAUUUUUGGUGAAUAUAUGAUUUUGAUAGCACACGCAGUCUAUGAAACUACUUUCAGUCAUCCAGCCGUCAAACUUGUUUUUUUAUACUUCGAGAUCAUAGACAGCAAAAAUCGGACAAAAAAAACAUUCAGAGAUUAAGUAACGGGGUAAUACUUUUCGACGGUUCUAAAUAAAAAGUGAUGAUUGAACGGUUAUUUUAACUCCGAUGUUGAUGAUUUUUUUGCAGCUACAGUCCUUCACUCCAUAUGAAUACAAUGAACUAAUUCGAUCGCCAAUUUUAAAUAUAUAUGUGUGUAUAACGUUACCCUAUAACGUUACGCUAAUAUAUAUUUGCGCGACGAAGGGACCCUUAUCGUCGCGCAAAAAGACCAUGCUCGACGGAAGUAUAUUUUGUCGUGCAGUGUUGUAACUUUACGCGACGAAUAUAUAUGCGUCGCGCAAACUAUGCGCGACGAGGUUGAUUCGUCGCGCAAGGAUUUGGCGCCAUUUCCUCAUUUAGUUCAAAUUGUGUAUGCUUUGUAUUUUUUGGAAAGGUUUUGUGUUCAUCAUUUUUUAACUUUGUAUAAAGAGGGUUAUAUUAUUUGUUUUACCGAUGUUGUUUAACUAAAUAUUUUUUCAUUUUUGAUUUUGUUGUAUGUUUUAACAAUGUCUCACGCGAAGGAAUAAACUUUAAUAAACUCAUGAAAACUUUAAUAAAUUUUAACAAUGUUUUAACAAUGUUUUAACAAUGUCCUUUUUGUUUUAUAAAGUGAAGGAAUAAACUUUCAUAAACUCAUGAAAACUCAAUCAAAUUUAGAAUUGGCCAUAAACCUCAUUACGUCAAAUGUUUUGUCAAUAAAAUUUUUCAAAUUAUUAUUAAAAGGGUUUUAUAACUAGAUUUAUUUAACAAUGUUACACUUGUUGACAUAUAUAAGGAUUGGAUAUAACAACUACAUAUAUUCAAAGAUUUGUAUUACACAAAAUGAAUACACAAACAUAAUAAAUUUACAAAUAAAUUCAUUAUUCAUCAUCUGAACAAUAAUAACUUUCGUUAUCGUCGCUAUCAUCACUCUCGGUCUCCCAAUCUUCUUCCUCCUCCUCCUCUAUAACUGCAUCAUCGGCGUUGCUAGGGCCCACUGCAACAUCGUAUCGCGGAAGAUCACCGAGGUCAAUUGUAAUUGACUGAAUCGGUAUUUCGACUGAAGACACUCCUUCUAUUUGAAACGGUUCUUGUAUAACAUUUGUACCUCGAAGUGUUUCCGCAUCAUUUUCCAUUGAAGAUUCUAAACGUUGGUCAGCCACAUUGUCGACGUCGUUGUCACUUGGGUCUAGUUCUGGUAUAUCAUACACGUUCCUAUGAUCCAUCUUCUGCACAACUUUCCACCCGCUCCCGGCUUUAGGGUCAUCUAGAUACACAAUUUGGGACGCCAUGUUUGCCAAAAUGUACGGGUCGUUAUCAUACCAAGUUCUGUUAAUGUUCACAGACAGUACUCCAUGGUCGAGUUUAACACUUCCCUCCCUAUUUGGGUUGGUAUCGAACCAUCGACACUUAAACAUGAUGACUUGGUAUCGAUCUUUGUAAAGCAAUUGCACGACAGUUGUCAGUUUGCCAUAGAAAUCAAUGUCCGUACUUUCGCCUCCACUGGGACAUGGACACCGCUGUUUUGCGUACACAACUUGUCAUCUCGUGCGGCCCCCAAAAAUUUGACGCCGUUAACAUUACAACCCGAGAACAAUUCAGCGCGAAUUGGGCCGAACGCCAAGUUAUAUAACUCAUCACUGUAAGUGGGGGAAUUCGAUGAUUUCAAUUUAUUCACCUAAUAGUAUACAAAACCAUUGACAUGUUAGUCAAUUACAAAACACUUAUAACUUACAGAAUCCAAAAACCAUUGUGGAAAUAAUUCACGGUGUUUCCGGGCAACCAACUGUGAUGGAUGUUCUCGCUUCAUCAUCUGUUCAUGCUCAUCUAAGUAGGCCAUUAUCUCAUCACAAUUGUUCAGUACGAACCAAUGCGCUACCUCCAUCUCAUUUCUAGAAAACGACUCUCCUCGUCCAGGAUCUCCAAAUGGUCGUGCGCUUUGGGCAAAAACAGAAAGUUUUUCAUUUCUCAUACCUCCGUCAUUAUUGCGUUGAGGACGAUUGAAAACCGUCUCCACAUCUUUUAAAUACAUUCCACAGAAAGUAAGCGACUCAUAUUAAACCCAAGCCUCUAUAAUUGAUCCUUCGGGCUUUGCCCUGUUGCGUACACUUUUUUUGCAGCUCUCCGAGAAGCCUGCCAAAAUAAAACGAUAUGAUACAAAUUAGCAAAGUGUCGAUAAUGAUGCAUACACAAAUGAUAAAGAUUAUAUACCUUUCUAUUGGAUACAUCCAGCGAUAGUUGACAGGACCAGCAAGCAAUGCCUCUUCUGGCAAGUGAACCAUCACGUGCAUCAUACUUGUAAAGAAAACUAGAGGAAAUAUCAUCUCAAACUUGCAUAGGACUUGGACAAUGUCAUGGCGCAACUGAAACAUGUCUGUCUUUCGCAAUGUUUUUGCCGUCAGUUGGGAAAAAAAUCUGGAUAACAACAUGAUUGGCUUCACUACAUCUUCCGGUAGUAGGUGUUGAAUACCCACAGGAAGUAGGCGUUACAUAAACACAUGGCAGUCAUGGCUCUUAAGUCCAGUAAAUUUACCCCCAACGACAUUCACGCAACGUCCGAUAUUAGAAGCAUACCCAUCGGGAAAUUUGACAGACGAUACAAACUUUAGAAACUCUUUUUUGUCAUUCGGUUUCAUAGAAAAGAAUGCAAGAUCCCUUCUAGCUUUAUCACUGUUCCUAUUCAUCCAUAAACCCCUUCGUAUGCCCAUUCUUUCCAAAUCAAGACGAGCUUUGAUCGUGUCCUUCGUCUUCCCCUCGAUAUCUAGAAUCGUGCCCACCAAUGUGUCGAAUACAUUUUUCUCAACAUGCAUCACAUCUAGAUUGUGCCUCAAUUUCAGUUUCGACCAAUAUGGGAGCUCAAAAAACAUAGGCUUGUGCGUCCAGUUCAAAUGUGUAGAAGGUCUAGUCCGACUAACUGUUUUCCCGAACGGAGCAAAAUCCAAACGGUUCAGCUGUUCCAAGAUCUCAUCACCGGACCAUUCUCUAGGUCUGAGGCGACGCUCUGUGUUCCCGUCGAACUCUUUAUCUUUUUCUCGCCACUCGUGGUCCCAUGGCAACCAUCUCCGAUGACCAAGAUAACAAACUUUUCCCGCGUGCUAACCAGAAGUUACAUCUUCCUUGCAUACAGGACAUGCCAUAUAACCCUUUGUGCUCCACCCAGGAACCAUUGCAUAUGCUGGAAAAUCAUUCACAGUCCACAUAACUGCUGCUCGCAAAGUGAACAUCCUCCCAGUUGAUUUAUCGUACGUGCGAACACCGUUUGUCCAUAAAUCCUUCAGCUCAUCAACCAGAGGCCUUAAGUACACAUCAAUUGACCUGCCAGGAUCCUCAGUUAUCAAAACAGUCAUCAUCAUGUAUUCUUUUUUCAUGCAUUUCCAAGGCGGCAAAUUAUAUGGGAAUGCGAAAAUCGGCCAAGUGCUGUGGUGUUGGUUUAGAACCCCAUACGGAUUGAAUCCGUCAGUGGCAAGUCCCAAUCUAACAUUUCGGGGAUCAGCAGCAAACUCGGGGAACGUUCGAUCGAACUCUUUCCAUGCCUCCCCAUCUGCAGGAUGCCGCAUCACAUCAUCGUCUACCCAUUUUUCCUUAUGCCAUCUCAUGUCUGUGGCAGUAUGCGUCGACAUAUACAAUCGCUGCAACCCAGGUUUAAGGGGCAGAUAACGCAUGACUUUUGGUGGUAUCUUAGUCGUUCUAUUCUGGGAUGUCAUUUUGAACCUCGACUCAUUGCAUAUAGGGCAUGUAUCCAACGUUUCAUGCUCUUUGUAGAAUCACAUGCAAUUGUUUUUGCAAACGUGGAUUUUUUCAUAACCCAAUCCAAGAUCAUGCAACACCUUCUGUGCAUGUUUAUGGUCUUUCGGCAAACAAGUGUCUGUCGGAAGCAUUCUCUUGAAAACCCCCAAAAAGUAAUUGAAACACAAGUUCGACAUACGAUACUUUAUUUUUCCGUGCAUUAGCUCCACAAUGGCAGUGAGAACGGAAAAGCUCUCGCACCCCGGGUAUAACUCUUGGUUGGCAUUUUUUAACAGUUUUUCAUACUGUUCAAACUCCGCACUGUCUAUUGGUGUAGGCACGUCAUCUUCCCCUUCCUGAUUGAUGUUGGUCGACGCGAAUGGAAAAGCAUCUUGUAUAAUACCCAUGACUUGAUCAUUAGGAUCCAUAAUAGGUUCAACAUUGUCCACUCUUGGGGCAUUUGAAGACAAAGCAUGCUCUACUUGUUCGCCGUGAAGGUUCCAAAUGCUAUAUGUUUCAAUCAUUCCAUUCCUUACUAAAUGAAAUCCAACAUUUUCAAUUGUCUCCCGCAACAUGUUGUUACACCUCCUACAAGGACAACGGAUUCUAGUUGCACCCGGGUUGUGUCUACGUGCAAACUCAAUAAAAUCCUCGAUUCCAUCCAAGUAUUCGUCUGCGCAUCUAUUCUGGUUCUGUAUCCACUUUCUGCUCAUAAUUCCUGAAAUCACAAUCACGACACAACAAUCACAACAACUUCAUACGAAGUUAUAAUGUCACCUUAUGCCUCCGGUAAGGGCCCUAUCCCAUUCCGGAAUGCAUAGUCCUGUCACGUAACCUACGGCUACAUGAGAUUAGAUUUCGACGUGGAUUAAUUUCGGCAGCAUCUCGACACAGUUCUUGAAGUGGGCAUAGGUAUAAAUACCUACGUACCACCCGAAGAACGUACCGAGAUGACACCGAAAUCUCCACAAUCGAAACCUAAUCCUGUAGCCGAAGAUUAUGUGACAACACUAUGCAUUACCAAACUGUCCAAAUAAUGGGACAAUUCAAGAAUUAAUUGGACCGCAGUCAUGCCUUACGCAUCCAUGCACGAAAUCCAACUAAUCUUGAACGGAAAACUACGUGUGACUAAACAUAAAAAUAAAAGUACAAAGUUAAUUUCAAUUAACUUCGUACAUCACAACACAUUGUGCUACGUCACGCACAAUUUCACAACAUUAUACACAUAUAACUUCACAAAAAAAUUACAAACAUAACAAACAAACUUUUACAAUAACAUACCUUCUCAAUCGUUCUCCACCAAUCACUAAUCACAAAUAUCCCUAACAAGAACAAAAUUAAUAGCGUUAGUACGAAUUUACAUUAAUACAUUUAAACUAACGACAAAAAAUACAUACCCAAUGAACGUACUGAAUUCACAGCAGAGCAGCGGCAGGGGGAGUGAGAGAGAGGCAGAAUGCAAUUUUUGCAUUCUGCCUCUGCAAUGGCAGAUACUAAUAUGAAGAAGAAGGACUUUGCGCGACGAACAACUAAAUUCGUCGCGCAAAAUGCCGUCGCAAAAACCCACUUUUUCGUCACACAAAACAACAUUUCCGUUGCGCAAUUACAUGUCGACAUCUGCUUUUUUGCGCGACGAACAAUAUGAUUUGUCGCACAAACUUUCGUCGCGCAAAUAAUAUUUUUCGUCGCGCAAAGUUUACAUUCCGUCGCGCAAAUUAUUCAUAUCGUCGCGCAAGAACGCACCGGCAUUAAACUGUACGCGACGAAGAAAAAUCCGUCGCGCAAAAAAAAUUUAUCCACCCUUCAUUUUGGCGCCAAAAAUAAUUAUCCCUCGUUUUCUUACGCGACGGUACAUUUUUUUCAUCGCGCUAAGUUUUCUUUUGAGACGAAAACUCUCGUCGCGCAAAUUUUUUUACCGCCAAAAAAAGGAGCCAAUUUUCUGUCCAUCUUUACGCGAUGAACGCUUAGAAUUGUCGCGCAAUAUUGUCAUGCGCGACGAUUUUUGUCGUCGCGCAAGAUUUUGGCGCAAAAAAAAAACCCGAGUUUUUAUCCACUACCUUUGCGCGACGAAAUUAAUUUAGGUCGCGCAUUGAUGGUUUGCGCGACGAACCUGUUUGUCGCGCUAGUUUUCUGUUGUUUGCGCGACGGAAUUUUUUUUCGUCUCAAUAGUUCUUUUUGCGCGACGAAAAAAUAUUCGUCGCGCAAAUAUUAAAUCGUAGUAGUGUGUGAAUGCCAUGGAUUUAGUUGAAUUAUGUAAGCAACAAUUCCAGAAGAUGAGGGAGAAUGGAUGAGAUUCUUUGUUGGAGGAAGUUUCUAUUUUUUGCAGGAAUCAAAGUAUUGAUGUUCCUAACAUGAUGAUAUGUUUCUAGCUCGAGGGAGGUCACGACGCAACGGUCCAAAAAUCACAAAUAUGCAUUAUUAUCGUGUUCAUUUUUUCUAUGAAGUGAUAGCUUUGCAACUCCAAGAGCUGAAUAGUCGUUUCAAUGAGGCCAACACUGAGUUGUUACUUUGCUUGGCAUGCUUGAGUCCAAAUGAUUCAUUUUCUUUUUUUGAUAAGCAAAAGCUCAUUCGGCUUGCUCAACUUUACCCGAAUGAUUUUUCUACACAAGAACUUGAGGUACUUAAAGAUCAACUUCAAACUUAUAUUGAUGAUAUGCAUUCCAACACCAACUUUUCAGAAUUACAAGGUAUUGCUAUUCUUGCAAAAAAAAAACUAGUUGAGACAAAAAAGGACAAGAGGCAUAUCCACAAGUUUAUCUUCUCAUAAAAUUGGCGUUAACACUUCCAGUUGCAACAGCUUCAGUAGAAAGGGCAUUCUCUGCUAUGAACAUUGUGAAGAACAGAAUGCGUAAUCGAAUGGGAGACGAAUGGAUGAAUGAUUGCAUGGUAGUAUAUCUUGAAAAAGACAUAUUUAAUAGUAUUGAUAAUGAGCUUAUUAUGCAACGUUCUCAGAAUAUGAAAAGUCAUCGAGGACAAUUGUAAAUUUACCUAUUAAACAAUGCUAUUAAUAUUCAAAGUUUGAAAUAUUUUUUGUUUGAUUAUAUAAUGGUUAAAUUUUUUUAAGCCCCCAGAUAAACGAAAGUCUGGGUCCGCCACUGGGCACCACUUGCGCCACCCCAGGGCCGCCAUCAACAAGAUGCUCAUCUUUAAGAUAUUUUCCAUUCAGAGUCUGCAUAGCCAUGACUUGCUGAAUAAGUCUUCACAUUGUUGUGUCCAACAAAGCCUGGCUCAUCAGACUUGAUUUCUUUAACCCCAAAACCCAUGGCUUUGGUCUCAGAAAAUUCCCAAAACAUAGUCCAACAACUCAAGUUUAAUGCAAAUGUUAGGUCUACAGCUACAUGUUACAAUGUAUAUAUCUAUCAUGUACCAUGUGUUUUAGUAGUCUAAAAGGUAUUUUGGGAAUUAGACGACAUAGAAGCACAAUGUCCUACCCUAAACCAAGAAAUGCAAAAACAAAAAAAACAUAAUGGAUAUCUAUCUUUACUUGUUUAUUUUACUAUAAUUUUUCAAGUACAUAGACAGAAUUUCUAGGGGGAGUAAAAACAUGCAUCUUUCUUUACACUAUAUCGGUAUUUAACAAUGUAUAGUGAAAUCUACUGAACGCGAUCAUGGGAAAGGGAUUUAAUAAACCCGUCUAAGCUGAUGACGUUCUCUCUCUUUAAAAACUGGGAGUACCAGUGAGCAGAGAGUUUGGGUUGUCUUCUUAAAUCGGGGUCAUCCAAAUCGAUGUAGUAGAGGCCGUAGCCCGAUUCAUAGCCGUCCAACAGCUCAAGGGAAUCCAAGAAGGACCAUAUAAAAUAGCCUCUGACGUUUGAUCCAUUCCUUCCAGAGUAAAUAUUUCAUAGCAUCCAUUAGUAAUUUAAACACAGGUAUUAUAUCUUUCCGCAUCUCAUAAACACCUUUAUUUGGACUUGGCCAGUUAGCCUUUACAAAAUGGAGAGAACAUGAUAAAUCAUAUAACUGUAGGCUUAAAUUAUAAUCGACAGAAAAUAGGUAUACCUUACAGCUUCAAGCAAAUUUUGGAUGUGUCCGUCCAAAUAUUUCACCCUUGGCCAAUCCUCUAAUGAUGAAUUGCGUCGAGUUCGUUGACCUAAGAUAUAUUGGAUGCCAGACUUUUUUUAGUAAAAUUUCACCAUUUUGAAGUGUUGAUGCGAAAAAGUGGUUCGGCACGUGUUUCGCCAACUUAGUGAUGUUAUGCCUGUAGUAGGUCACUGUCUUCGGAAGGUGUUCUACUUCGGAAGGGUAAGUACCUACAAAAGGACACGUUCGGUAAGUCCUUGGGGUAUCGGUAUGGUACCGGCCGAAGGCUCUCCGAUGCUUUAGUAAGUACGAUUUUAGUAAUGUUAACUGACAGAUCAAUCGGUAGCGUAUCGUUAGUUCGGAUUUUUUUCCUUUUGGGGAUAAGGGUCUCCUUAUAUAGGCCUUGGGAGGUGUGCACUGUGCUCAUAUUUCCGAUGUGGGACUGUGGACAUGGAUUGUGAGCAUGGCACGUGUCCGAUGGUAAAAAGGGCCAAGAUAGAUGGCUUCGGUAGGAAGCGUGCCGAAGGCGUUUCUGCAGCCAAAAUCGAUCCUGUCCACGUGUUCGGUUGUCAUAGGCCGUUUAUCUCCGGUAUAAACAGUAGUCCCCCAAGUUCUCUUCCGAAGGUCCUUUGGAAGGGAAUUUAGUUCUCUGCUGCGGUUCGGAGGUUGACCUGCCGUUCGGUAGGCUCGUUGGGGGAGAUUGACCUGGGACUCGAGGGGUCGUCGAUGCUGAGAGGCGAGAGGGCAGAGAGACGCUUCGUCUUCCGUGCCUGGCGUGCAGUCGGCGGCGCCAUUCGUCGGGUGACGCGUGGCCAACAAAAAGCACGUCUGACGGCGCAUUAAAGAGCCGUUUAUUUGUAAUAGUUGUAUUAGUUUUUUUUUUCUAUUUUUAUUUCAUGUACCGAACAUAUUGAUGCCGAGGGCAUCUUUAAUUCAAAUGCAUAUUUUUAUCUACUGUUGUUUGAACAAUCUGAACACGUUUUUAAAUUGCCGAUCGUACUUAUCGCCGAAAGGCUCCGUAUAGGAUUUAUAACAUUAAAGGGAUACUUCGAAAUUGAUAAGUUCCGAUGGAAUCUGUAGGGUAACAAUUUCGAAAAAUAUUUAUUGCCGUAGGCUAAUAAAUAUGCCGUAGAACGUUAACUUGCCACAUUGGCCGCCGUGGGCUAGUAGAGUAAUUUUAAAAAGAGCAUCUGAAGUAAUAGUGCCGAAGGCUUUCUAUUAAUUUCUGCCGAAGGGCAAAUACAUUUCAAUCAGUUACAACUUUGUCCUACCGUAGGCUAGGUUACUUGAAAUAGUAUUUGAGAUGUUCCACGUUCCAAGGAUGACCGAGGGUCUUGCCGUUGGAGUCUCUUAGGCGGUAGGUUCCCGAUCGAAGGAUACCGAUGAUCUCAUAGGGUCCUUCCCAGGAAGGUCCGAGGGUUCCUUCCGUGGCAUCCUUGGUUGCUAGGGAUACCUUCCGCAUGACCCAGUCUCCGAUUCGGAAUGAGCAGUGUCUGACCCUGGAGUCAUAAUACCGAGAGACACGUUGCUUGUAGGCUUCAUUUCGAAGGUUGGCAUGUGCCCGGUGCUCUUCAAGAAGGUCGACACUUAGAGAAAGUGCUUCUUCAUUCGGCUUCGGUGCGAAGUUUUUCGUUCGGUAGGAAGAUUCGCCAAUUUCCACAGGCACCACAGCUUCCGAACCGAAAGCCAAAGAGAAAGGGGUCUCUCCCGUGGACGUUCGGUAAGAUGUCCGAAUGGCCCAGAGUGCUUCGGGAAGCUUUUCUGGCUAGGCUCCUUUGGCUUUGUCCAGCUGCCGUUUCAGUAGUUUCUUGAUGAUUUUGUUUAUUGCUUCCACCUGACCGUUUGACUGGGGAUGGGCUGGUGAUGCGAAAAACAAGUUGAUUUUCAGGCAGGUGCAAAAUUGCCUGAAGAGUUCCGAAUCGAACUGCCUGCCGUUGUCGGUAAUGAUUUCAUACGGGAUACCGAACCUGCAACAAAUGUGAGUCCAGACGAAGUCUUCCACUCUUGCUGCCGUUAUGGUUGCCAGAGGUUCGGCUUCUACCCACUUGGUGAAAUAGUCGACGGCGACCACUGCGUAUUUCACCUGGCCUUUGCCCUGCGGCAUCGGACCAAUCAGGUCCAGUCCCCAUUAUGCGAAAGGCCAAGGACUCACGAUCGGUGUCAGAGGUUCGGCAGGGAUGUGCGGUAUGCUACCGAAACGCUGGCAUUUAUCACACUUUUUCACUAGCGAAUUAGCAUCCUGGUGCAUGGUCGGCCAAAAGUAUCCCUGUCGAAAGGCUUUGUGGGCGAGUGACCGGGACCCGGAAUGAUUGCCGCACACACCGUUAUGGAUCUCCCGAAGGACGUAGUCCCCCUGUUCUGCCGUAAGGCAUUUGAGAUAUGGAGUUGUGUAGCCACGUUUGUACAGGACGUCGUUGAUGACGGUGUACCUUGCUGAUCGGUACCUAAGCUUUCGGGCCUGGGCCUUGUCUUCUGGAAGGGUGCCGUUGGUCAAGUACGAGUAGAUAGGAGACAUCCAUGUAUCUUCGUACCGUACGGUACAUGUUUCGGCGGCUACCGUGCUUGGUUGGGCAAGAAUCUCCACUGGCACCUUUCUUCCGAUUUUGUCGUUGAUUGCCGAAGCCAGACGUGCCAAUGCAUCGGCAUGGCUAUUUUUGCUCCUGGGGAUCUGCUUGAUCUUGUAAGCUCGGAAGCUUUGGAGCAGCUGAUGGGUAGACGAAAGGUAGGCGUGCAUGGAGGCGUUUCUGGCCGCGAAGUCUGCCGUUACCUGGUUCACAAUGAGCUGGGAGUCGCUGUGAAUUCUGAUUUGUUUGGCAUUCAUGCUCUUGGCUAACCGAAGGCCGGCCAAGAGAGCCUCAUAUUCCGCUUCAUUGUUGGAGGUUCGGAAGUCGAAUUGGAGGGCGUACUCGAUCUUGAGUCCGUCCGGUGUCGUCAGUACCAAGCCUGCUCCGCACCCUUGUUGGUUUGCCGAGCCGUCGACGUGCAGACUCCAUACGGGAGUUGAGGCGUCAAAGUGUUCGGUGUCAAGUUCCUCCGGCAACCCGGUCUCGGGUAUCUCCUGUGCUGUUGAUGGGGUGAGCUCGGAGAUGAAAUCGGCAAUGGCUUGACCCUUUUCGGCGGGCCUUGGCAUGAAUUGUAUAUCGAACUAUCCGAGUUCGAUCGCCCACUUGAUCAAUCGGCCAGAAGUCUCUGGUUUUUGGAGCACCUGCCGGAGCGGUUGGUUAGUCAGAACUUUGAUCCCGUGUGUUUGGAAGUAUGGCCGAAGUCUUCGUGCCGAGACCACCAGGGCUAGUGCAAGCUGCUCUAAUGGGGGAUACCGAAGUUCAGCACUCUGGAGUGCCUUACUGACAUAGAAAAUCGGUAGCUCUGCUUUUUCUGGUUUUCGAAUCAACACCGAACUGACAGCAGUGCUAGAUACCGAAAGGUAUAGGGAGAAAAUCUCCCCAGGUAGUGGUUUUGAUAAAAGGGGUGCUUUACCCAUGUAGUCCUUUAAGUCUUGAAACGCUUUAUCACAUUCGGCAGUCCAUAUGAUAUUCCGUUUGCCCCCUUUCAAGGCUUUAAAGAAUGGUACACAUUUGUCGGUGGCCUUGGAUAUGAAGCGAGUCAAGGCCGCCAUGCGUCCGGUAAGGCUUUGAAUGUCCUUCGUCGUCUUCGGCCUCUCCAUGUCGAUGAUUGCCUUUAUUUUUUCGAGAUUCGCUUCGAUACCCCUGUGACUAAUCAUGAAUCCGAGGACUUUCCCGGAAGAUACACCGAAGGCGUAUUUCAUCGGGGUCAGCCUCAUCCGGUAGUCUUUCAGUAUGCCGAACAUGAUUGACAAAUUGUGCAGAUGUUCUUUGGCAGUUCUGCUCUUGACCAACAUGUCAUCGACGUAAACCUCCAUGAUGCUGCCGAUGUAUUUGGCAAAAAUUCUGUUGACAAGCCUUUGAUAUGUUGCCCUCGCGUUCUUCAGGCCGAACGUCAUGACAUUGUAACAGUACAACCCUCUGUCUGUUAUGAAGGCGGUUUGUUCGCUGUCGGAAGGGUGCAUGAAUAUCUGAUUAUAUCCCGAAUAGGCAUCCAUGAAGCUGAGCAGUUCGUGUCCGGCGGUGGCGUCCACGAGCUGGUCUAUCCGUGGCAACGGAAAGCUGUCCUUUGGGCAGGCCUUGUUCAGAUCAGUAUAGUCUUGGCACAUUCGCCACCCGCUUGUAGCCUUCCGGACCAUCACUGAAUUUGCCAGCCAUACCGGAUACGUAGCCUCCCUGAUGAAGCCGAUGGUUUGAAGUUUGUCAACCUCCUUACGCAUGGCUUCGUAUCGCUCGGUAUCGUACGAACGGCGCUUCUGUCUUACAGGCUUAUAAGCGGGAGAGAUGCUGAGUUUAUGGCUGAUGACCUCUGGAGCGAUGCCGGGCAUGUCUUCGUAGGACCAUGCGAAUACUUCCGAAUGGUUCCGCAAGAAAUUUAUGAAUUACGUUCGGAGGGCAGGAGUGAGUCUGGUGCCGAUUCUAACCUGACGAUCGGGCUGCCCCUCGCUCAAGGUUAUCGUCUCCAGUUCUUCGGCGGGUUGUGUGUGAGGAGUCGGGGACUCAUCUCUUGGGUCGUCAACUGGUCCUGUACCGUUCGGUACCCCUUGGAUAGACAUGGUUUCGUCGGGGAGUUGGAAAGAGGUUGACUUUAGGGCCGUGGCGUAGCAAGUCCGCGCGCUUAGCUGAUUUCCCCGGACAGCCCUUGUGCCGUUAGGGGUCGGGAACUUCAUCAAUAGCAUGUGGGGGGAAAGAUGUGCCUUGAUCCUGGUGAGUGCCGUUCGUCGAACUAUAACGUUGUACGCUGUCGGGCAAUCAACGAUCAGGAACUGAUCGUAUACCGUCGUUUUUCUUGGCGCGGUGCCGAAGGUAAUUGGUAGUUUUACACUACCGACCAGUUGGACCAGGUCCCCAGAGAAACUUAACAAAGGCGUCAACUGCCGGUUGACCUGGCUGUCCUUUAUCCCCAUUUCUCGGAAAGCUUCGGCAAAUAUCACGCUCACGGAGCUUCCGAUAUCGAUCAGUACCCAUCCUACAUCGUAGUCGGCAAUUUCUGCUCGAAUGAUCAUCGAGUCGUCAUGGGGAUAGAGGAUGCCCUCUUCCUCCUCUUCGCAAAAUGUGAUUGGUUCCCAAUGAACUUUCGGUAUUUCAGGGUGCCGAUUCACCUCUAUGCCGAAUACUUGCGGAAAUUGUGCGGCGCGCACGUAUUCUUCAUUGAAUGGUUGCUCAUUCCUGCGAUGGUGGGGCCACCGCUGAUAGUGCUUAUCAUGUUUAUCUGCCGAAUUGGAUUCGGCAUCGGCGCCGGUGGCUGCCGGGCGAUGUACUGAUCUAGCUUCCCCUCUCUGAUCAACCGUUCGACAAUCUUUCUUAGGCUUAUACAGUCUUCCGUAUUAUGACUGUUGUGCUGAUGGUAUCGGCAGAAUUUACCGGUAUCCCGGUUGUCUUGCCGAUUGGGUCUUCGCAGAUUGGGCUUUGGUAUUAUUUUUUGUUCGUUCAUCAGAACGGCCUCGUAGGUAGUGUUUAAUAGGGUAAAGACUUGGUUGCCGUGGUCAUGAUUCGGCAGGGGCGCCCGGUUGUCGUUGCGUCCAUAUCUCCCCUUUUCCUUCUUCGGGUGUUCUCUUCGAUCGGCACGGUCGUCUUUCCUCUUAUGACCUGCCAAAUAUGGGUCGACUCUCUCGUAGGGUGGCGCCUUCGCCGGAUAAGCACUUGGUUCAGUAUCCCCUUGCCGUGCCGAAACCCCGGGUUUCGAGUUGAAGUAUUCGGCUUUGGCAUGGAUUGCUGCCUGCUUCAUCAGUUCGUCGUACGUGCGCCAGUUGCUGCUGUGUACUAGGUAUCGGAAAUGCGAGGACCGAAGGCCACUCUUGAAGGCGCUGUACGCUGGCCUAUCGUCUGUUUCUGGACACCCUGAGUAUUCGUGGCUGAAGCGCGCCGCGUAUUCUCUCAACGGUUCAUCCUCUCUUUGUCGAAUCGUGUACAGAUCAUCGGCAGAGUAAAGACGGUCCGUCUGGAUCAUGAAGUGAUUGAGGAAAAUCUGCUUCAGCUCGUCGAAAAAGUCUACUGUCUCCGGCUCCAACUGGUAGAACCAGUUCAGGGCUGCUCCGGUAAGGGAAGACGGGAAUAGCAGGCACUGCGCUUCAUCGCUCAGGCCCUUGCAUCCAAUGGUGGACUGAAAUGAGUGGAGGUGUGUUAAGGGGUCCUCCGUUCCCGUAUAGAACGGUAUACGCAGUUGCUGCACUUCCCUAUCCUGCCGAGAGUCCCGGAUACGCCUGGUGAAUGGUCCGGGCCGAAGCUUUCCCCAUUCCGGUUCUUGGGAACGAGCUUUGUCAUUUUCCAUUUUCUGGACUUUCUGAAAAAGUAGUCGGACAACAGGGUCUCGGCUAGGGAUUUCCUCGGAACCAUAAUCUUCCGAUCGUCUUUCUAGACUUAAUGAAUUAACCCCCGAGUACCGUGAAGGCGUUGCCGAACGGUACGUGGACGUUUGCGUCCUGGAAGGGAUAUAUUCGGAUUCUGACUCCUCUGCGGUGUCCAGCCCUCUGACCUUCCGAAUAGGCGACUUGUCUCCUAGGAUUUUCUUCCGUGAGUCCCUCUGUCGAGCGCUAAUCCUGAUCGGAGACCUCCGUCUCUCUGCCUCCCGAUCGUUAAUCCGAUGUCGACAAUCGGAAUAUACUUUCUUUGGGACGUGUGGCUGAUCCCUGGGUGCCGGGACCACCAGCUGUUUGGAAGGUGCGGGCGUUGCCUUCGCUACCUUAUCGUGUUUCUUCUUCCUAUGAUGGGUCUAAAAGCUCUCGAAAGAGUGAGUUGUCUGGAUGUUUAGCGUGUGCUGCUGGUGGAGCAGCUGCUGGGUUUCGUCCACUUUGGACGAAAGAAGGUUGUUGUGUUCCUGAAGCCUUGCCAUGUCCUUCCGUAGGGACGCGAUUUGGGCUACCAGCUCGGCUUCGGCGGUUGUUUGGGUUGCGGGGGCGUUUCCGAAGGGAGUGCAUGGGGGUAGCGCUGGGCUAGCUCCGCUCUGCCUUCCGAACGGUACCCCUUCUUCCGAUAAGAACAUGGGUACUGAAGUGGUCCCCAUGUAUUUUGGAGAUAGUGGGUUGAUGAUUUUUCUGGAUUCCCACAGACGGCGCCAAACUGUUGAUGCGAAAAAGUGGUUCGGCACGUGUUUCGCCAACUUAGUGAUGUUAUGCCUUCGGUAGGUCACUGUCUUCGGAAGGUGUUCUACUUCGGAAGGGUAAGUACCUACAAAAGGACACGUUCGGUAAGUCCUUGGGGUACCGGUGUGGUACCGGCCGAAGGCUCUCUGAUGCUUUAGUAAGUACGGUUUUAGUAAUGUUAACUGACAGAUCAAUCGGUAACGUACCGUUAGUUCUGAUUUUUUCCUUUUGGGGAUAAUGGUCUCCUUAUAUAGGCCUUGGGAGGUGUGCACUGUGCUCAUAUUUCCGAUGUGAGACUAUGGACAUGGAUUGUGAGCAUGACACGUGUCCGAUGGUAAAAAGGCCCAAGAUAGAUGGCUUCGGUAGGAAGCAUGCCGAAGGCGUUUCUGCAGCCAAAAUCGAUCCUAUCCACGUGUUCGGUUGUCAUAGGCCGUUUAUCUCCGGUAUAAACAUGAAGAAUUUAUUUGUUUUGUCUUUUUGCUGCGUUAUGUUUUCUCACAUUAUAUAUGUCUUCAUAUAAAUGCAUUCUAGCAGUACUUUGAUUAAAAUUCACUAUUUAAGAGAGAGAGAGAGAGAGAGAGAGAGAGAGAGAGAGAGAGAGACCAUUUUCUUGGAUAUAUAUUGGAGGAUUUCCAUAGUUUUGCUUGACAUAUUCCAGCAGUCGUUGCAGGCCCCAGGGAGUUAUUGGAAACUGAAAUCAAAGAAACCGAUCAGUAUUAAGGCUCUGAAAUUAACCCCAUAAGCAGUGAAUUGAUUACGUUCAAGCUUCUACCUCAAAUGUUGUAUCAUUUUGUAGACCUGCACGGGAAAUUUAAGAAAGUUUGUAUCACAUGAACAGUGCACAAAUAUUCCUUGCGCAAUGAACAAAAGAAAAAAAUUGAACAAUGCACAAACAACCAUCACAAACACAAAAAAUGAACAUUGUGAUUUCCAAAUAUCUUCAUAGAGGCUAAUUUUGUUUAUGAUAUGCUUUAGCAUAUUUCGGUCAUUCAUAUCAUAUUUGGGACUACACACCUCUUGUCUAUGCAGUGUCUGCUUGAAAUGCUGAGUUUUCUACGGUUUGCGCUGUACUUUUAUUUUUAGUAACAAAGGAAAAGGAAAAGAAAAAGAAAAAGAAAAAGGCAUCAGCAUGGUACAGAAAAUUCACAAAUUUGAACAGAAAAAGGCAUCUGUAUACAUACUACAUCAGUUUUCUCCCUGCACAACAUGCAUCCUUUAAAGAAAGGACAUCCCAGUAAAAUAUUUCUAACAUAAUAUCUCUUUAAUUUUUUUUAUCAACGCUACUGGAGCAUUGUAGGGGACAAGGUGUCACGCAAGUGCUUGCAGAUAUUGAAUGGAGAAAUGUAAGUGGUGAGUUGAUAAGAAUGUAAUUAGGCCUCUAAGCUAAAUGGUGUAUUCACUUUGUCACUAAGAUAGACAAGUGUUAGGCGUUAGUCAUGUUAAGUGGUUAUAGCCACGUGUAAAAAUCCUAGAGAGCAGUUUUGGAUGUAAGGCUGUGAUUCUCAGUGAUGUAAGAGAAUCCAACUAUUCUUUCAUACGGUUAUAGCUCACACUGAGCUUGCUCUAUUGAGUACAGAGUAUGCAAUAGAAAAAUACACACUUGUUUUGAUUCAGUCAAGCUCACUACUCUCUCUGUGUUUUCCUUCCUCCUUCAAUCUAUUCAAAACUCUAACAUGGCCUCAGAGCCAGGUUGGGUCUUUUGAUCUGGGCGUAAUCUGUGAGGUCACUGAGCUCAAUCGAAGCUCAGCUAAGCAUCUGAGAAGAGAAAUUGUUUGAUUCAGACCAAAAGAUGGCUGGAUCUGGAAGUUCAGAAGUAAGAACUCCGAUCUUCUCCGGUGAGAACUACGAGUUCUGCAGGAUUAAGAUGGUGACGAUCUUCAAAUCUCUUGGGCUAUGGAGUCUGGUAGAAAAGGGGAUUUCAACCCCUGAUUCGAAGAAGAAGAUGACAAAAGUUGAAGAAUCAUCAGAAGAAGAAGUUGAUGCAGAAAUGUUUGCUGUGCUCAUUAAGGACCCAAAGGCUCUGGGCAUUAUACAAAACGCAGUUUCUGACCAGAUCUUCCCUCGGAUUGCAAAUGCCAACUCAUCUAAAAUGGCAUGGAAUCUACUCUACAGUGAUUACCACGGUGGUGAUCAGGUCAGAUCUGUAAAACUUCUGAAUCUCAAACAGGAAUUUGAGAAUAUGAGAAUGCGUGAAGGUGAACAACUAACUGCAUAUCUUACUCAAUUAAAUGAAUUGAUAAAUCAAAUGAAAACGUUUGGAGAAGUGUUAUCAAAUGAGAGGCUGGUUCAAAAGUUGUUAAUCAGUUUUAGUAGAGUGUAUGAUCCCAUCUGUUUGGUGAUCGAAAAUACAAAGAGUUUGGAGACUAUUGAAUUGCAGGAGGUUAUUGCAAUAUUGAAGAGUCAAGAGCAAUGUUUUGACAUGCAUAAUGUGGACAUAGCUGAGAAGGCAUUUGGCUCUUUCUCAGUCGAUACAAAGGGCAGAACAAGAAUAAUACUCAAACUGAUUCUACUAAGUCUUAGAAGAAUUGGAAGUCUAACAACAAACCAUGGGAGUCUAAACAGAAGCCACAACAAGCUGGUGCUACACAGACCUCAAAUGGAUCACAAUAUGUGCAUCAAGAUGGAGAGAAGCCUCAAUGCAAAGUAUGCUCUAAAUUUCAUUUUGGAGAAUGUAGAUAUAAGGGCCAAUCUAAGUGCUAUAAGUGUGAUAGGUUUGGACAUUGGGCUAGGGACUGUACUGCAAACAAAGGAGUGUAGAAAGCAAAUAAUGCAAGUCAAGUAGAAGUAAUAGGGAAUCUGUUUUUUGCAAACUGUCAAUUUCAGAGAAGAGUGCAAAUAGAGAAUGGUAUGUAGACAGUGGUUGCAGUAACCAUAUGACUGGGAACAAGGAGCUGUUAAUUGACAUAAAUUCAAGUGUCACAGGCAAGGUGCAAAUGCCAACAUGAGAGCUUGUAAGUAUAGCUGGCAUGGGUACUUUAGUGCUUGACACAAGCUCUAGUACAAAGUAUAUCAGAGAAGUCAUGUAUCUACCUGGUUUGAAGGAAAAUCUGUUGAGUGUAGGCCAAAUGGAUGAACAUGGUUAUCAUUUGGUAUUUGGAAGCAGCAUGUGCAGUAUCUAUGAUGGUUCUUCUCUCAAGAAUCUCAUCAUGAAGGUGGAAAUGAGGAAAAAUAGGUGUUAUCCAUUAUCAUUGCCCUCAAAUGACUAUGUUGCACUAAGAGCUAGUAUAUCCAAUUCUACCUGGAUUUGGCAUAAAAGAAUGGGCCAUUUGCAUCUGAAAGGUCUACAUCAGCUUAAGGAGAAAGAGAUGGUACAUGGUUUGCCAUACUUGGAGGAUGUAAAUGAAGUGUGUGGAGUCUAUCAACUGGGAAAGCAACACAGAGAGUGGUUCCCUAAGGAUCAAGCAUGGAGAGCAAGUACACCCCUUGAGCUUAUACACGUGGACUUGUGUGGACCAAUGCAAAAUGAGUCUCUAGCAGGUAAUAAAUAUUUUAUGCUGCUCAUAGACGAUUUUACAAGGAUGAUUUGGGUCUACUUCUUAAGAUACAAGUCGGAUGCAUUAAACUGUUUUCGAAAAUUCAAGUCUAUGGUGGAGUUGCAGAGUGGUUACAAAGUGAAAUGUGUUCGAAGUGAAGAGGGGGUGAGUUCACAUCUAGUGAAUUCAAUAAACUAUGUGAAGAUGCAGGAAUUCAAAGACAGUUCUCCAUGGCUUACACACCCCAGCAGAAUGGAGUGGUAGAAAGGAAGAAUAGGAUAGUGGUAGAGAUGGCUAAGGCUAUGUUACAUGAGAAGGCGUUGCCUUAUUACUUAUGGGUAGAAGCUGUACACACUGCAGUGUACAUUUUAAACAGGUGUCCUACUAAGGCUCUUAUAAACAAGACCCAUUUUGAAGCAUAUAGCACAAGAAAACCAGGUGUUGCUCAUUUGAAGGUAUUUGGUAGUGUGUGCUUUGUGCAUAAACCAGAAGAAAGUAGAGAGAAAUUGGAUGCCAAAAGCACAAGGGGAGUGUUUGUUGGAUAUGCAACAUGUGAGAAGGGUUAUAGAGUGUUUGAUCCUGUCACUAGAAAACUACUACUGUCAAGAGCCAUUGUAUUUGAUGAAGGAGCAAUAUGGAAUUGGAAGGAAGCAACUGAAAAUUCUGUGGUGAUGGUGAAUGAUGAAGAGCAGCCUAGGAAUUCUCAAGUGAAAUUGUUUGAAACACCUGUAGGAAAUCGAAAUUCUGGUUUCAUAUCUAUAGACUCAGUCUCCUAUGAAGAAUCAAGCAAGGCAAGCAGCAAAUUGGAAGACACUCAGAACUUCGAUCAUACUUCAUUGAAAUGAAGGAAGUUGGAUGAUAUCUUAGCACAAUGCAAUCUGUGCACAAUAGAGCCUGAGAAGUUUGAAGAAGCUGUGAAGGAUGAGUCAUGGAUGAAGGCAAUGAAAGAUGAGUUGAACAUGAUAGAAAAGAAUGAUACAUGGGAACUUGUUGACAGAUCUAUGGAUAAACCAGUGAUUGGAGUUAAAUGGGUGUUUAAAACUAAGCUAAAUCUGGACGGUUCAGUGCAGAAGAAUAAGGCAAGACUGGUGGCUAAGGGAUACUCACAAAAACCAGGGGUGGACUAAAAUGAAACAUUCGCACCAGUGGCUAGAUUAGACACAAAGUGGCAGCUGUAUCAAUUAGAUGUUAAGUCAGCUUUUCUAAAUGGCAUCUUAGAGGAAGAAGUGUAUGUAGAUCAGCCAGAGGGAUUUGUAGUGAAGGGUAGUGCAAGCAAGGUUUACAAGCUGCACAAAGCUCUAUAUGGCUUGAAACAGGCGCCAAGAGCUUGGUAUAGUGAAAUUGAUGGUUAUUUUGUUGAGUGUGGUUUCACAAAGAGCCAAAGUGAGGCUACUCUUUAUGUCAAAGCAAGAGGUGAAGCGAGCAUCUUGAUAGUAUCCAUUUAUGUAGAUGAUAUAGUCUACACUGGAAAUGAUCAAGAAAUGUUAGAAGACUUUAAGAAGGACAUGAAGGAGAAAUAUGAAAUGACUGAUCUGGGGCUCUUGCAUCAUUUCUUGGGAAUGGGUGUAAUUCAAACACCAACAAGCAUAUUCAUUCAUCAGAAGAAAUAUGCAACAAUUCUGUUAAGCAGAUUUGGUUUGAAUGAGUGUAAGCCGGUAGGGCAAUACAGAAGGAUUGUUGGAAGUCUGCUGUACCUCAAAGCUAUUAGACCCGACAUUAUGUUUGCAGCUAGUUUGCUUGCAAGGUUCAUGCAUUGUCCCACUAGCAAACAUCUUGGAACAGCAAAACGUGUUCUUAGAUAUGUAAAAGGAACUCUAGAUUAUGGUCUGGAGUAUGUGAAAGGAAAAGAGGCAGUCCUAAUUGGCUAUUGUGACAGUGAUUGGAGUGGUUCAGUGGAUGAUAGCAAGAGCACCUCUGGAUAUUCCUUUUCUUUUGGUAGUGGAGUGUUUGCUUGGGCCUCAGUCAAGCAAAAUUGUGUUGCACUCUCUACUGCAGAAGCGGAAUACAUCAGUGCCUUGGAGAACUUCAAACCGAAGCUACACCUUUACAUUGUGACAACAUUUCAGCUAUUGCCAUUACAAGGAAUCCUGUGUUUCAUCAGAAAACCAAGCAUAUCGAUCGAAGGUAUCAUUUUAUUAAAGAUGCUUUGCAAGAAGUAACUGUGGAUCUGAUUUAUUGUCCCACAAAUGAGCAGUUGGCAGAUAUCUUUACAAAGGCUUUGGCUAAGGAUCAUUUCUGCUAUCUCAGAGAGAAACUUGGUGUGAAAUCAGCUCACAACUUAAAGGGGAGUGUUGAAAUGUAAGUGGUGAGCUGAUAAGAAUGUAAUUAGGCCUCUAAGCUAAAUGGUGUAUUCACUUUGUCGCUAAGAUAGACAAGUGUUAGGCGUUAGUCAUGUUGAGUGGUUAUAGCCACGUGUAAAAAUCCUGGAGAGCAGUUUUGGAUGUAAGGCUGUGAUUCUCAGUGAUGUAAGAGAAUCCAGCUAUUCUUUCAUACGGUUAUAGCUCACAGCUCACACUGAGCUUGCUCUUUUGAGUACAGAGCAUGCAAUAGAAAAAUACACACUUGUGUUUUCCUUCCUACUUCAAUCUAUUCAAAACUCUAACACAGACACCCUCUAGAGUGACUGAAUUUAGACCAAAAAGCCUAUGUACAGCGAUUUACAAAAUUAUUGCAAAGGCUUUUGCAAAUAGACUCAAGUAAUUAAAGCGGUGGCUCCAGUUCUUCGUACAUAUACGAUGGAGUGUUCCAAUUGCCCCACAGUUUAUGUGUUAUCUGCAAUGAUUGCUAGGUUUUGGUGGGAAAAACAUGCUUUACACGCUUUAUGGAAUUGUAAACGAAGCAGGAAAUUAUGGAGCCUAACAUCGUUAAAACUUGGUAUUGGUGGAGCACGGGUAACUUUUGCAGAUUUUUCAGAGGUGGCUAUGCAUUCUUUGGCCCCGGUGGAGAUGGAUCAGUUUGCCUGUUGCGAGCAUGGAAAUUAAGGAAUGAUGAGCUCUAUGGAAAGCAGGGAUGUAAUUUUGUUGACCCGGUGGUGGUAGAGACUUCAGAUUACUUAGAACAAUUCAUGUAACAUUCAAUGCGCGUCAAAACCACCCCAAGUGGAGUGAUGGCGCUGGAUCAAAGCACCACCACAAUUCUUGCUAAUGUAUUGUGAUGGCACUACUGGCAAGGGAGGCAGAAGGCGAGGCCUAGGGGGGUUGGUGUGUGAUUCUGAAGGAAUCUUUAAAUGGGGUUUUGCUUGUGGGGGACCAGCCUGAGGUGGUGGUGGAUACUGAAUUGGCUGCUCUACGGAUUGGCUUGCAGCAUACGGUAGCAAGGGGUUGACAGGUCUUUUCAUAUUUACAGACUCACAAGAAGUGGUGAAUUUAUUGAAGGGAGAAGGAGAGUUGUGGUGCAACUUGGGGAAUCCAGUUGAGGAUGUAAAAUUUUCUUGGGAAAUAGCCCUAAAUGACACCCAUUUCAUAAUUUUAAUUAAAAAUACCAUCCUUUCCCAAUUUUUGUACAACUAUCACCUAUAAAUAUAAAAUUAUUGCCCACUUAUUGCUGAUUUUUCACAAGUUCAGAAAUUUUGGAGAGAAGAAGCUCACACAGCUCUCUCUCUCUCUCUCUCUGGCACAGCUCUCUUUCUCUUUGGUAUCUGUCUAUCACAGCUCUCUGUGUCUCUCUUGGCUCUCUCUAUCUUGGCUCUCUCUCUCUUGGCUCUCUCUCUGUCUCUCUAGCACAACUCUCUGUCUCUCUCUUUGCUCUGUUUCUCAUAGCGCAGCUGUCUCUCUCUAGCUUCGUUAUGUCCCUUUCUCCCCUAUUCGAUCUCUUGCUCUCUGUUUGGAAUCGCGAACCCCUCCCUUUAGCUAUGUCUUCUGAAUAGCUGCUUGCAACCUUGAAGCUCUACUGGAUUGCCGACCUCGAAAAGGUAGUGUUGAUGGUUAUUUUCUUAAUAUCAGUAUUAUGUGAAAUGGGUUAUAGUUUGAUUGUUUGGGUCUGUGUUAAAUUCGUUUUGGCUUUAAUUUAUUUGGGUUAGGUUUUGUUGAAUAUUCAUGCUCAUUCAUCUGGGUUUGUACCAAUUGCAUUUAGAUUGGUCUGGAUAUGUGAAUCUUGAAACUUGGGAAUUUCUAUUUGAUGUAGUAGAUCUGUAUAGUGUGAUUCUGAUGUGUUCCUCUUAUUUUACAGUCGUAUUGCUGUUAUAUUGCCAUUAUAUUGCCUAUAUAUUGCUGUUAUAUUGUGGUUAUAUUGCUAUUGUAUUGUAUGGUUAUUGUGGUUAUAUUGUGUGAAUGAAAUGUUGUUUUGUCAUGGUCAGAAAUGGAGACAAUUGUUAUUCUCGUGUGCUACAAUGGAAAAUGGGUCACCUCGAAGAAGAUGUGCAAAUACGAAGGGGGUGACUCAAAAGGCUUAAUAGUUCCACGGACCAUCAAUUUUGCUGAACUGUUGGACCGUGUGCAUCAGAUUGGUAAUACAAACAGCAGGGAAGACAAGGUUUGCUUAAAAUUCUCAGUUUUGGUGGCCUCGAAUGAGUGGAAGUGCAUAAAGAUUGAGGACGAUGAUGAUGUCAAUUUUUUUAUGAAGUACAAUUCCGAGGUAACACCUUCAAAACUAGCUCCCUUACUCAUGAGUAUAGAAGAUAAAGGACUGACAAAUGAUGUAGUUCAUAGUAUGCAUAUCACGACAGAUAGUAGUCGGAUGGGUCAUUCUUCAGUUGCCAUUGUUGAAAGCAAUGAAGUAACUUGGAAUAAUACAAAUGUCACUGAUUUGGGAGGUGAAGUAGGGACAGAUUUUAUGGAUAUGAUUGAUUUUAGCGAGGUGGAGGAGAUGCAUGGUGGUGAUAAUGGUACUGAAAGAAAUGAAGUGUAAGUGUACUCUGCCCCUCCUAAUUUGGGGUGCUUGAACACAGCUGCCCAGUUGCCAAAAAUACGUUUAGGAGGAGAAUCUGAACCCACUCGUCAACAUUAUUUUUGCCCAGUUGCCAAAAAUACAUAGAGAUACAAUUUUAUUGUUGUUAAUGUCAUGUUGUACUGCUGUAACUUACAGCCAAGGAGUUAAUGGUGUAGUUUUGAAUCCCAUCAAUUUAAUGCACCAACACAAAACCCAAUUUACCUCAUAUAAGUUCGUACAUAUAACUGAACCUUCCUAUAUAGAACUGCAACAGAGGCACCUUCUUAACGGGAAAGGUAAUUAGUCUUACUGAAAGGCAAAUAUUCUCCACUCAACCUAACCAUAUAGUCGUUUACAACUGGAGACUGAAUGUACCUCUAUUUGUUUGGUUGCAGGCAACAGCUGUGAAUUGUCCCCAGUAAUACUUCAACAUGUCAGAUGUACGCCCUCCUAACGAGCAUGUGAGUUACCCGGGGGACCAGCCCUGGCAUGUGCCAUUCCCAUCUCCACCUCGGACUCCCAAUCAUGAUCCCACUUCAUCUGGAAGUGAGGCUGACACUCAUGAUCCGCUUGACAAAAUCUCCGCCGUCAAGCACCACCUCCAAUAUAUGUCAAAGGCAACGGAUUGGUGGGAGAGUAAGUGCGAUAUUCAUGGCCAAGUUAUGGGAAACUUGGCCAACAAGUUGAACAAAGCAUACGCUGGAGAGGUGAAGCAAGCUCUUAAAGCAAAAAGUCGGAGCAAAGAGUUAGAGUCCUUGAAGUUGAAAUUGGAAGACACAAAGAAAAAUGCCCUCGAAACAUUCACACAAUCUGAAGAAUAUAACCAUGAAAUGGUUGAAUGUUUCAACAACGGCUUCGAAAUGUUCCGAGAUUAUGCUUCGGUCAUCUCACCAGACCACAAUUGGAGUGAAAUUGAUGUAGCUGGUGUCUGGCAGGUACUAAAUAUGGGUUUUGAUGGAAUGGCUCAUCAUAGCCUCGUGCAUGCAGCGAGAAGAAAGGACAAAGACAUGGAUCUUUUGAUGGACCUGUAGUAACGGUGAAUGCUGCUUCAGUUCAUCUCACCCGAGUACAUGGAUCUUUUGUUGCCUUCAUUUUCCCUUCGUGGGAUAGAUAGUAUUGUUCAGUUUGGGAGGCGAUUUCUUUCGCAUGUGUGAAAUGUUGUCUGUAAUGUGUAUGUAUUGUAUGUACAUUGACUUAAUAUUGCAUUUGUAUUGUGUUUGUAUUCCCUUAAUACUGUAAUGUGUAUGUAUUAUAUGUAUAUUGCCCUAAUAUUGCCUUUAUAUUGUACUUAUAUUGCUCUACUAUUGCCUUCGUAUUGUAUAUUUAUUGUGGCCAUAUUGCCCUACUAUUGCCUUCGUAUUGUAUAUUUAUUGUGGUCAUAUUGCCUUCGUAUUGCCUUCGUAUUGCCUUUGUAUUGUAGGCAUAUUGCCCUACUUUGGAAUAUGAUGAGGUCAAGAGGCGUCCCAUGCUUGUAUGCAACCCUCACAGCUUCAUCCUCGUUCAGCCUCGCUUGUGAAGUCCCAGACUUCAUGUCAUCUUUGCUAUUUGCCAAUUUCAGUUGCAUCAGCUGGCCGUGUCUAGGGUUUUUUAUCUGCUUUCGUUUCAUUUUUAAGCUCUGCUUUGAAUCAAUACGUGGCAUAUUGGCUGAAUAUGGGAGUGACAAGAUCAAUUCUUACUCUCCCUAAGUGGAUAAAAUAGAUGCUCAAUAUGAAUCCUUUCCUCCACAAGUUUGUGUACAGUGCCGUACGUUGUGUGUUUUAGGUGCCACACUGGCUUAUUAAAAUUGAUGCUUGGCCAUGAAAAACUUUUUGUUUUCUUACUUUUAGAAAAGUACAUAUUUGUGUCAAUAACUAAGUUUGGACUGUUAACAAUCAUUCAGAAGAAUGGUAGAAAUAAGCUCCACUGUGCCAAUCCACGAAGUUGAACAAAGAAAUUGUGUUCGAUACACAGAUGACAUGUGAAACUAACAUUAGCAUUCUCCAAUAAGAAGACUUCUCUUCUUUCCACCUCGUCGAUUGAGAAAGAAAGAAGAGGGACAAAACACACACUACCAAGUUAAGGUGACAUUACAAACCUAAAAAAUAUCCUCAUCAAACUUAUAAUGCUCCUUUUUUUCUUCUUUAAAGCAAAACUUCAUUCAAACUGAGAUAACCACGUGCUCUCCAUAAGCACUCCGGAAUUAUUUGCUCAUUAUCUGCAUCGCCUUCUGUCUCAACUUGAGGCUUGGAAUGAGCUUUGGCACCAGGAGGCUGCUUCUUCUUCAUCCCACUCACAAUGUCAUCGAUUCUGAGAAGUAGGCAAGCAGCUUCUAUGGCCGUUUUAAAACUCUGGCCCUUCACGUUGUAGGCAUCCCAUAUCUGACAUCAUAAAUCCUCAAAAUGAACAGCCUUACCAACAAAAUAAAUUUAUUGGGAAAUUUUUUAAUAACCACGACAACAGCACUUCCCCUCACAUGAGUGCUGUCGAAAUAUAUUGGGAGAAGCUCUAAACUAGAACUACUACUGAAGCAAAUCGACAAUAUAAACCAGAAGAUUGACACUUAUGCCAUAUCAAUAAAGGGACAUAUAAUGGAUACAUUUGAGAACAAUACUACAUUAAAAGUCCUAUUUCAGAGCUUUCAGCAAAUAUAAAUCACCCAACAAAUGUGAAUAUUGAGAUAGCGAAGGAAAUAAAAGAGAGCAACAAUAGUAAGCCAAAAAGAUAUCCACCUAUCUUUUUCUCUUUCACAUCAGUUAUCACACCAGUGUUACCAUCAAUGCCAAUCCAUGAUUUUUCACCAUUUGCAUGCUAUGGAAAAAAAAUUGUGGUUAAGAUCUAAAUGAUGCAUCAUAUUCUGACCAAAAUAAUAAUGAUGCAUCAUAUUCUGUGAUAACCACAUCUGGUUUAAACUUCAAUAAUAAAAUGCAUGUAAGGUGAAACCACAACUAAUUCUUAAUCUAAAGUAUGUCAACGAGCAUGUGAAUUGAAGUGACAGCCUUGUUUGGUUCUCGCCUUUCUUAUAUUCGAGCGGCCAAUCAAGAAGAAUGAUUGGGUGAUUUAUAAGAAAAUGAAAGAAAAUGAAAGAAAAUGAAAGAAAUUGGCACCAUCCCUUCAGUUUUUUCUUAACAAAAAAUGAAAGAUAAAUUCAUAAAUAAACCAUCAAAACGGUAUAAAAUGUUUGUAAGACAUGUACAAUUACAAAAUUAUAAGUUCUCCUCAGAAACAGACUUCUCUAAGUAUCCAUACACAAACAACAAAAGCAAAAGCUUAAACAGUUAGCUUAUAGCAAAAUCAAUGUCCCCAUUUCUCUAAACCACAGCUGCUGCUGGUAGGUUCCCAUCUUCACUCAUUUCCCGCUUUCUUUUAAGCACACAAUGAUCAAGCACAAAACAGCAAACUUUUAAACAACUCAUAUUACACCACAUAUGGUUCUAAACAAAACUCAUCCAUAUCCAAUAUGCAAGCCCUAAACUUAGUAAACAAAGUUAUACAAAAAUAUGUCGAAUUAACAAGCAUUAUUCUCAAACAAAAAGUAUGAUAUGGUUGGGAGUUUACAAGUUCAAAUAUUUAUACAAUACUUGAUUUUGUCAAACUCUGUCUUGAGAUAUUUUAUCAAUCUAGAAGUUUCUUUCAUAUAUGAAAAACUACGAACGAUAACAAAGGAAAUUAUUUCUAUGUAAAUUAUUCUUCGAUUCCAUCAGACAACCAUGCAAAUCCUUUGCACAAUUGAGUGUAAUGUGAAGGGUCACUACCUCGUUGGAAGAUAAAGAGAAAAAAAUUAAGGAAUUUAGCAAGCCACCAACAGUUUGCUUAAGAUAUUUCAAAAUGGUUGCUUCCAUCAUGGAGUUUUAGCCACAAAUUCUUUUCAUGGCCACAUUUUCUACGUAAAAUAUAAUCAGCGAGUAUUUUUUGGUAAUGAUCCACAGAGAAGAAAUCACCAUACACAGGUUAAUUGUCUUACACUUUAGAUAUCAUCUUCAACAAACAAAAUAGAUACCAAUUAGACUUCUAAGAAGGUUAAAUGCAAUGCUCAUAAAGACUCAUACUAAGCCACCAAAUACCAUUCAAUAACUGCUACAAAAACCAUAAUAAAACCAUACUAAAACUAAAAAUACAACUGCACUAAAAUGCCAACACAACAUCACUACAUUAGCAAUACACUAGCAAAAAAACACAAUACGACAGCAAUAGCAACAGCAACAGCAACACAACAGCAGUGCAAGCAUCAGUCCACAAAGAACAAACCCAUUCACUGUUUGAAACAAGGAAUCAUCAUACUCAGAUCAUUUCAGACAAACCCCUAAAACAAUUUCAAUGAAACCCCUAAACCAAUUUCAGAGAAACCCCUAAACCUUCAACCAAUUUCGAACAAACCCCUAAACUAAUUUCAGCGAAACCCCUAAACCUUCAACCAAUUUCGAACAAACCCCUCAGCCAAUUUCAGAGAAAUGCAUAAACCCUAAAACAACUUGAGAGAAACCCUUAAACUGUAAGAAAAUGCCGAUGAACAGUACCUGUCGCUGGGAGAGGAAGAGAGAAGAGACAGUCGGAGCUGAGUGAGGAGAGACUGAGAGCUGAAGGACCACAGAUUCGGAGCAAAGCCACCGGAGAGUGAAGAGAAACAGAGGGCAGCGAAGAGACAGAGGCGAGAGAGAACUUCAGCAAAACAGAGACAAUAAAAUUUCAGCAAAAGUGAUAUAUGUGCAAUAAGGGGACAAUAAAAUUCUAUUUAUAGGUCAUAGUUCCAAAAUUUUUAAAAAAGGGUGGUAUUUUCAAUUACAAUUAUAAAAAUGGUGGCAUUUUGGGCUAUUUCCCAAUUUUCUUUACACAGUUGCAUAUUUGUGGAUGUUUUGUUCCAACCCCGAGCGGGCAAUAAGGUGGCGCAUUCUUUGGCCCAAGCAGGUAUGCGGCUUCAACAUCAGAUGUUUUGGGAGGAUAUGCCACUUUUUGGGAUUCUUCCAUUGCUAGACAGAGAUAUUAGUUUUGUUUUGUUCAGGGAAUGCGCAGGUAUUUCAAGAGUAAUAUGUUACUUGGGAGAAUGUUGUAGAGAUCAUUCAAUUUAGUUACUCUUAAGAGCUAUCUCUGGAGAAAGUAAGAAAAAGGUAGGUUGGUUUUAUUAAAUGAAGCUCUAUUUAUUUACAUUUUUUCUUACAAAAUAAAAUUAAAAUCAAAUCAAAUAAAUGCUACAGUUGUCCAAGAAGGGUCUGCAUGGGGAUUCAUGCGUCUUUCUUGAAAAUUUAGGUUUGUCUUGCAAUACUUUGGAGAAGUGUGGACGUACUUAGGAAGUAUUUGUAUUUUAAGAGCUUUUUGAUCAUUUGCCCAAAAUUUGGAAGACUUUCAAAUUUUGCAAUAGAUAAAUAAAAAUAUUUUAUGUAAAACCCAAAUCUCUAAUAGUGAUUCAACUCUGUCUAUAACUUGAAUACAAGUGAUAGUCUAAAUUCCCUUCUUUAUUUUAGAACAUAAUUGAUGUUUAUGACUCAAAUAAAGUGAUGCAUCUUAAUGUGGCAUAACUAUUUUGGAUACAAACACCAUUGGAGGAGAGGGGUAUGUGCUCUUAACCACUUAAGCUACAAGCUCUUUACAUAAGUAUUUGACUAUGUAAAAUAAAGUUUACUGAGAAUGGUAACCAUGGGAAAGGGAUUCAAGAAAUCCAUCUAAGCUGGUGAGGUUCUUGCUCUUUAGAAAAUGGGAGUACCAAUGAGCAGAGAGUUUGGGUUGUCUUUUUAAAUCAGGGUCGUCCAAAUCGAUGUAGUAUAGGCCAAAGCUUGAUUCAUAGCCGUUCAAUAGCUCAAGGGAGUCCAUGAAGGACCAUAUAAAAUAGCCUUUGGCAUUUGAUCCAUUCCUUCCAAAAGUAAAGAUUUUCAUAGCAUCCGUCAGUGAUUAAGAACAAGUACUAGUUAGAUGUCAAACUAAGGUAUAAAACAAGAAAAACCACUUAAGAAAAAAGCAAAUAAAGAUGAUAUCAAAUAGUUAAAGACUUCAUAAGUGGUGAACGGUUAUAGCCCAGUGAAAAAAGACAUUGACUAAUGUGUGAGAAAUCAUUCAUCUCCGUGUAGUUUAGACUAUAGCUUGUAUAAAAAUAAAAUAAAAUAAAAUAAAGACUUCACAAGUGAAACAUAUCUUGCCAAUUCUCACUUUGCCUAUUUAAACAACAAUUUGGGUCUUGACCUAAUUAAUUUCAAUUUUGUCCAUGGAAUUAAUUAUUAGUUACAAAAUCAGUCAUUUCUCUGGCUUCAAUUGUCAUUUCUUGUUAAAGCAAAGUGGUCUUUUCAUACCGAGGAUGGCAAUUAAAUUUCCCUAGUAUGAACACUUUCUUGGAGAGAAUAAGAUAAAUCAUAUGACUCUUGGGUUACAUUAUAACUGGAAGAAAAUAGGUAUACCUUACAGCUGCAAGCAAACUUUGGAUAUGUCCACGCAAAUAUUUUACCCUCGACCUAUCCUCCAAUGAUGAAUUGCGUGCAGUUUGUUGACCUAAAAUAUAUAGGAUGCCAAUACUUUUCCAUUUAGAUAAUGAGAUAGAUGAAAAGAAUAUAAACAUGAAAAGCUAUAAUGCCACUACUUCAUUAUAAUAGCCAAAAUUAAGUCUUUGUACUCUAUAAUUUUCAAUUAGGUUAUAACAUUAUCAUCUAAAUAUAUGACUUUAUUACAAAAAGAAGAGCGAAACUAAAAGUACCACUAAACUAAAUUGCAAAUUGUUCCAACACUGUAUAUUCAAAUACAUGCAUUAUAGCACUACUUCGAUUAAAUUUCAGCAUUUAGAUAGAGAGAGGGAUAUACCAUUUUCAUGGAUAUAUAUAGGGGGAUUGCCAUAAUUUUGCUUCAUAUAUUCCAACAGUCUUUGCAGGCCCCAGGGAGCUAUUGGAUACUACAUCAAACAAAUGCAUUAGUAAUGCUUGAAAUUAACUCCAUAAAUGGUUAAAUGACACUAACUUAACCCCACAUCGAAAAUUUGAAAAAAUAAAUACAAUAUAUAAUGAAUGAUACCACUCCUAAUAACACCGAGGUUUUUUGAUAAAACAACACACCUAUUGGAAUUUGUAAGUGGUUAAGUUGUGAACAAUAUCAGUGUUGCUAGUAGUGGGUCGAUAACCCAUCUCUCUAAAGUUAACAAGUUGUUAUGUUCAAAGUUUUACCUCGAAUGAUGAUUCACCAUGUUUCGGAACUGCACAGAUAAACUUUGUAAGUUAAAUCAAUAAUUAUAUCAUGUCUUAACCAAGAUAAAACUUGCCCUAUAGUGACCAAUGUGUACACUAAAGCAGUACAAAAAAGAUGUAAUCGAUGAAUCAUGUAAUAAACACUUUUAAUUUUGUGAAUAUUUACUUAAUCUUGGGGUAAACCUUGAAGCUAAUAAUUCAAAACUUCAGGUUUUUUUUUUCUUUUUUAAACAUUCGACAGAUAUUUACCAAUAUAUUUUCACAAAGGCUCGGCUAAUACAUCCACAAAGUUAUGCUACGUACCAUAAUGGGAUUAGCCACAACUAGACUGUUAAAGAUUGGCUCACCAUAGAUGCAUGAGGAAGAGGAACCGUACAAUCCCGACGACUGGUCGUCACGUGAAUAGUGUCACGCGCUGUUUUUGGCAUUUUGGCAUGUUUUGAUGUGGUUUCCUAUUAUUUUGGGGUUUUCUAGUACAAUUUAAUAGGGUUUUAAUUUCCUAUUCCUAGUAAACUUGUAACCCAAGUUCUAUGAGUUAUAAAUAGAACUUUUAGGGCUAGGUUAAUUUAAGAGAGGAGAAUUCAAGAGUGAAUUUUGAAAAGAGAAACACAAGAUUGAAUUUUCAAGGGUGAAUUCUUGAGUGUUUAUAAGGUCAUCAAAGGGUUUGAGCAAGGGUGUGAGAGAAAUUAAGACCUAGAGUUUGAGGUGAUAGAAAGCUAAGGGGAUUCUUGUUGUAACCAAAGUUGUUCCUAUUCUUCUAGUGAAAUUUCUAGAGGGGGUCACCAAAGAGAAUGUAGGUACAAAGCUGAACCUCUAUACAUCUUUGUAUUCUUGUGUGUUUGCUUACUCUCUUUGUGGUGUGUGUGUUUUUUAUUCUCAAAGAGUUUGUGUGUGUGUUAUCGCAUAGUCCAUCAAUGACAAGGUCUUGGAGUGUUUCCGCACAAUAUCGACGUUGAACUACAUACGUGUAGCAAAAACUUGAUUAAAUUUUUAGGGCUCAAUUUAGUUUGAUAUAUAAAUAUACGUAUAGCAAAAACUUACAUAUCGUCUUCAUUGCCGAGUCAGCAAUAUAGUCUCUGUUUGUACUCUCUAAGCUGACGGAGUUGUCCUCGGCGUAUACGGCGGUAUAAUAAUUAAAUCCUAUGAAGUCAAACGAACCCUUGACACUUUGAGACUCAAGCCUAGUGAAGAAAGGAAUUCUAGAGCCUGCAUUUUUUUUCAUUACAUCAGGGUAAUCUCCAAACACCAAGGGAUUCAAAUACCUGCAACACAAAAUAGACACAAUGGAAUUACAAUGCGUUUGCAGUUAAGACAAGUAAAUAAUAAUUGACAUAUAUAUCGGUUUCACAUAGUAGCUUGAUCGUCCAAACCAUCUAUUUUUUAUGUUUCGUUGAAGGAUAACCCUGUACUAAUAAUCCACCAAAUUGGGCAGGAAAAUGACUACAAAAGAGAGAACAGAGAGGUUGCAAUUUUAUGCCAAUUUCAAACUUACCAACCAAAAUAGAAGUCGAAGCCUCUUUGGGUUGCUAGUUCAUCUUCAAUGGUUUUUGUUCGAGGAAAAAACCAAAAGGCAAAAAGGUUGAUUCCUAUAAACCCACGUUGUUUAUCCUGCAUUCCAAAAGCAUUGAUGUUACAUGGAAUAAUCUUUGUUGAAUUAGGUUGGGUUUCUUUUGACUUCUUUAUCAUAGUUUAUAACGGUCUGUAUUGUAUGUUUGAGCUUAUAAUUGUUUAUGCAUUUCCACAUAGUAUAUGUACAUUAGAAGGAGAGGCAUCAAAUUAAUAUUGCAGAGUUUUCUCUUUUUCUACUUCCCAUUUGCUCUCAAUUUCUUAUUUCCUCAACCUAUCUCUAACUAUUUUCUUUGUUAAAAUGCUUUAUGUUCUCAAAUUAAAACUCGAAGACCUAAGUAACAAGUGAAAAUUAGCAGCUGUGACACUUACUAAUCUGUAUUAUAUCUUGAUUCAAGGACGAAAGGACACCAUUGCAAGAACAACAGUGCUUGAAGCAUUUAACAUGAAUUUGUUUUCUCUUCCAAUUACCUGGUAGUUUUUCUUGUACAAUCUAGCAGCCGACGCAUGAGAUAACAAGAUAUUAUGCGUUGCCAAGUAUGGUUCUGUUGAGGAGUUACCCCUAGAGCAGUUGAGACCAAAUGGAAUUGAACAUCGUUGUGGUGGAAGAAAUCCAGCAUCAUAACCCCCAAGUACAAAAACAUUAGGUUCAUUCAUAGUAGUCCAAUGCAAAACUCUAUCCCCGAAAUUUUUGAAGCACACAUCUGCAUACGCAGUGAAGUCUUUUCUGCAACCACAAAAUUGUUCCACCAUGAUCUUUCCCCUUUUUCUCCUGAUGCAUUGAAAUUAUGCAAAAUAACAAAAAUAGGGUUAAGAAACCAUACACAAUCUUUCGGCUAACCCAUCCUCCAUACUCAUCAUCAAGUGCCUGUGGGAGAUCACUAUGGUGUAAAGUAACAUGUGGUUGGAUUCCUGCUUGAAAAAUAAAGCAAUCAGACAUCAAAUUACAGAAUUGUUAGAUUGGUGGAAGUGGUACAUGUUUCUUAAGGCAUGUUUACUUUAUUAGGAAUGGGUAUUGGAAUUACUCAAUUCAUGUCUUCCCCCGCGUUUACUAACAUAAAAAGCAAUCCAAAAUUAUAUGGGUUGCAUGCUAAACUCUCGAAUAUCCUCAAAAAUAGUAAUCGGAUCAGCUACCUAGUUGAUCUGAUUCCAAUUCCUCAAUUUAGUUCCAUGAUUCAUGACUUCCUCCAUUCCUAAGUAAACAUGCCCUAAGAGUAUAACCACUCCCCAAAUUUGAAGGAAAAUAUACAAUGUAGUAUCAUAAGGUAGAUAGUAACCAUAGCUGAUUAGUUGAUCAAUAAGAUUGUUGUAAUAUUGUAGACCCUUUGGAUUGACAGGUCCUUUUCCAUCUGAAAUAAAGAAAUUGGAUAUUUGAGUGCGUGAAAACUUAAGCGUUGUUUGUUUAAUAUGAGUAACAAUUGGAUGCUCAUGCAUACUUGGGAUAAGUCUUGACCAUGAGAUGGAAAAUCUAUAUGCCUCUAAUCCAGUAUCUGCCAUUAGUUGAACAUCUUCCUGCAACAGUUUGAAUGAACAUGAUAUGAUGUAUGAACAUCAAAUAGCAUCAACAUGUUCCCAAUUAGUUAUUUAGGCAAUAAAUCGCGUAAUUGUACAGAACAUAUGGUAUGUUAUAUUGCCUCCCAAAAACUAUAAAAACCUCUCGAAUACUAGCUAGUCUUGAUACGGUAUGAAUCUCGUGAUUGCAUAAUUGUAACAUAUAUGUGAAUAACUACUAGUCCUGAAACCUCUGAACUAAAAGAAAAGAUUGUUAGCAAUAACUAGAUUGAAUUUUACAAAAUAUAUACCUUAUACUUGUGAUACGCGUCACACGCUACAUCUCCAGUGGCUCCAUGAAAAUGACCUGAAAAAUUGAGUUAAGUAAUGAACUAACAAGGAUCAUGAUACAUGCAAGUUAUCAUGUUAGUUUGAACAAUUCACUUUAUCUAAAUGUUUGAUUAGUUGAUUAUAUUAUUAAUAUGGAUUAAGUUUAUUUAAUCCGCUUUGUCUCAAUAUUCUAAUUUUCUGGUCAAUAUAUUUUGGCAGGACUUGUAUGUAACCACCUAGUAUAUGCUACUCAAAAUCUGAUAAGAAAUAUCACCUGCCUUGCAACUUGAGAAAAUUAUAUAUGAGCUAAAACAAGCUUCUCAUCACAAUGGCGGGAAAAAUAUAUUCAGAAAAUAUAUCACCUGACCCGAUGCCUCAACUACUGGAAAUGAAUGAUUAUAUUGAUAGAUAUAUAGUAGGAAUGGUCAACUACCUUAAGCACAAACUUACUAAGAAGAUAGAAAACAACAGUAUGAAUUAUGAUCAACUACUUUAAGUACAAACCUACUAAGAAGAUAGAAAAACAGUAUGAAUUAAUUUAAUUUAUAAGGGAAAAAAAAAAGUGGGAUUUGUUUGUGUUUGGCCUUUGGCAGGGACGGACCCACAGUGGGGUUAAUGGGGUCAAACGACCCUAUGGACUUCAUGAAAGCAAGGUAGAAGGUCCCUUUGAAUUGGGGUGUGACCCCAUGAGAAUGGCUGAAGGGAGGAGUUGCAGACAGAGGAAGAAGAAGGUGAACAGGAAAUCUGUUUUUUGUUUUAAAGAAGCUGGCCAAAACGGCGUCGUUUUGGCCCAGCUUCUAAUUUUUUUAAAAAAACAGGCUGGCCAAAACGGCGUCGUUUUGGGCCAGCCCAGCGUAUUUUUUUUUAAAACGCGCUGGCCAAAACGGCGUCGUUUUGGACCAAUAGCGAAUUUUUAAAAAAAAACUCGCUGGCCAAAACGCCGUCGUUUUGGACCAGCGAAUUUUUUUUUAAAAGACCUGGCCAAAACGACGUCGUUUUGGUCUAGGUCUUUUAAAAAAAAAAAUAGAACAGAUUGUAUCUGCUGCACAGCUUCAUCCCGAAUUUUCAUCUCCAAAACACCUAUUUUCUAAACCCUCAAACCUAAAUCCCCAAUCUCCACCCCCCACAAACCUUUAACCCUCUUCCCCACCAAGCCUUUAAACCCCAAAUCCUCCAUUGUCGCCGCUGCCCUCUAAACCCUCAGUUUAAAAAUUGAACUUUUACACUAUGACUCUACGACAUAAAAUUCCUGAGUCCGUCCCUGGCCUUUGGUCCCUUUUUGUACCAAAAGAAAAAUAAAGAAAAGGUGAGGGGGGUUUAUACUCUCGUUACGAUUUACAGGGCUGUCCAUUAGGUUGGUUGGAUAUAUUAGUUUAGGCUGACAAAAGGCAAAGUCAAGUCGAGGUUAGUCAAAGUGUAAGUCUGUCUCUGCAUGUCACUUUAUGGAUGAGGAGGGAAAUAUUAUCCAAAAAAAAAAAAAUAUACUACCUAAUUAAGUAACCAUAACUUUACUCUAAAGUAUGUGAUAAAGCCGUAAUUUACAAUAAUAAUGUGACACAUGACAUUGUCAUAUAUUUAUUUUUAUUAAUUACAUAGUUUGUCCCAAAAAAGAAAAAAAAAAAUCAACAACAAAAACGAAAGUAUGCCAAUAGAAUAUGUGAAUUACUAUUUUGCACCUGAUCACUUUGUCUUUAUGAAUUACUUUUUCUUCAAACGGUUUUGAAUCUAUUUCGAUCAGGUUUCGGGCAUGAGUUUUUCUUCACACGGUUUUGAAUCUAUGACAUGAUUCACUUUUUUUGUUGUGUAUGAAUGACUGCCGACUGACAUUGUUUGGACGUACAUGAAUUUAACGUCAUGGAUGACAGUGGUUUUGGGGUGAUGGGCCCCUUCCAAUAUAACAUUGAAUCUACCACAAGAAAACAACCAAGACUUUUCUUGCUUUUAAGUAUACCAAUAUCGUCUUUCACAAUAGAAAAAGUUCCAAAAAUAAAAUUUUAAUAUCUAUAGCUAGCCGUAUCUUUCAUUGACUUUUCGAACUGAAUUGAGACGUUGAUUAUAUAACAUUUUCAAAACUAAUUAAUUCUUUGAAAAAUUUAACCGAACUAAUCAGAAACUGUAAUUUAUUCAUGAAGAGGUUAAAUUGUUUUUAAUAAAAAUAAAAACUAAAAAAACAAAUACAAAAUAAAAGCAUAAAAACUAGUAUUGCUACAAUCUAACCUGACCUCGCCAACCAACAAACAAAAAUGAAAGAAGAAGAAGAAGGAAAAUGUGAUAAGAAAGUAGUGGGAAGCAAACCAGCUUGCGCAUAUGUGUCCAAGAUGCUCGGGGUCCUGCCAUCUUCGCCUGCAGCACCUUCCACCUUUUGUCAUGUAGAUUUUUUAAUCAACCCAGGUAAUAAUACAAAUGAAGAGAAAUUAGAGAGAGAAAAAGAAAAAUGAAAAGAAAUUGCGAACCUGAUAAGCAGAGGAGGAAGCACCAAACACAAAGGCCGGUGCCGGUGGGAAGUCAUCUCUGCAAAAGUCAUCAGUGCUUGAAGAAACGCUUUUUAUAGUAAGAAGAAAACACAGCAGAAGUGAAACUCUCAACAUUAAUUAUGGAAAAGACGAAAGCACAGCAAGAGUUUGGAGAUUCUGGUUUCUGAACUUAUAAAAAGCAAAACUUUUGAAUGAGAUUUGAGUGGUUACCCUUUAGUUAUCCUAAAGCUCCACGUCGAUAAAGCUAGACGACUCCAAAUUACUUUAGAAGGUGUUGUGUGUUGAAUUGAAGACUUUUUCAUUUGUCGAUUAUGAAAACUUGUCAAAACGGCCGAAAACUGUUGUCAAAUUAAUUAAAAUAAAAAACGAGUAAUUAAUUGAUAAAGGUUGUGCAAAGCCCCGCUGCGAUGAUUGGCUUGAAGCGAAAAGCCUUUGCUUUCUCCCAGUGGCGUAAAGAGGGUCCGUGAAUAUUAACAAAAUAUAUUUUUUUAAUUGUAUAAUUUAGGGAAAUAGCGCUCAAUACCACCAGUUUUUUAAUUUUAACUAGAAAUACCGCAUUUUCCCACAAAUUUUACAAAUAUCGCCUAUAAAUAUAUAUUUGAUGUCCACUUAUUGCACACAUAACAGUUUUUCUGAAAUUUAGUUCUCUCUCAGCUCUUUCUUGGCUCCGUCUCUCUCUGCCGCUCAGUUCUCAUUCUCUCUUCACUCUGUCUUUCUGUCGCUCAACUCUCACUCUCUCUUCACUCUUUCUUUGUCGCGCGCUACCCUCAGUCUCUCUUGCGCAGCUCUCUCUCUCUCUCUCUCUCUCUCUCUCUCUCUCUCUCUCUCUCUCUCUCUCUCUCGUGUAGCUCCCUCUCUCUCUCUCUCUGACGCAGUGCUCUUCUUCCACCAGAGGUGUCUGUUCAUCGAAGCUCAACUCCAUCGUUCACUUCCAAAAGGUACUAUUCAUCGUCAUUUUCUUAGGGUUUAGGGGUUUCUCUGAAGUUGGUUUAGGGUUUAUGGGUUUCUAUGUAUAAGAUCCCACAUCAACCAACGGAGAGGGGGUGAUGUGCCUUAUAUGUGCACACCCGCAUCCAUCUAGCACGAGGCCUUUUGGGAGCUCACUGGCUUCGGAGUCGUAGGAACUCCGAAGUUAAGCGAGUUGGGGGCCAGAGCAAUCCCAGGAUGGGUGACCCACUGGGAAGUUGCUCGUGAGCUUCCAGAAACAAAACCGUGAGGGCCAGAGAGGGGGGCCCAAAGCGGACAAUAUCGUGCUACGGCGGAGCCGAUCCCGGGAUGUGACAAUUUGGUAUAGAGCCACUCUGCCGUGUGGUGCGAGUGUGCCGACGAGGACGUCGGGCCCUUAAGGGGGGUGGAUUAUAAGAUCCCACAUCAACCAACGGAGAGGGGGUGAUGUGCCUUAUAUGUGCACAACCGCAUCCAUCUAGCAUGAGACCUUUUGGGAGCUCACUGGUUUCGGAGUCGUAGGAACUCCGAAGUUAAGCGAGUUGGGGGCCAGAGCAAUCCCAGGAUGGGUGACCCACUGGGAAGUGGCUCGUGAGCUUCCAGAAACAAAACCGUGAGGGCCAGAGAGGGGGCCCAAAGCGGACAAUAUCGUGCUACGGCGGAGCCGAUCCCGGGAUGUGACACUAUGAAAUUGGUUAAGGGGUUUCUCUGAAGUUGGUUUAGGGUUUAUGGGUUUCUAUGAAAUUGGUUAAGAGGUUUCUCUUAAAUUGGUUUAGGGUUUAGUGAUUUCUCUGAAAUUGGUUUAAAAGUUCUCUGAAAUUGGCUUAUUUAUUAUAUUGCCCCUUAAAACUAUAGUCAAAUCUCACUUUACCCCCUGAAAAUUAAAGUGACCCAGAAUACCUAUUGACCAACGUUUGGUGGUUCACUUUGCCCCCCAACUAUUAAUUCUGUUAAAAUUUUUGUUAAAAACGCUGUUGUGGCACAAAUAAGACCCACUCUUUUGUUGAAAUAUAUGUCACCUAAGUGCCACAUGUAAAAUAAAUAAAUUUUAAAAUUUUAAAAUUUUAAAAUUUUAACAAAUAGAAAAGAAAAAAAAAAUUACAUGACUUCUCUCUUCUCUCUCCCUCUUUCUCUCUACUUGAGUCUCGACCUUCUCCCCUACCAACAAAUAGGUAAACGUUAAUGGUAAAGAAAAGCAGCAAAGCACAUGCCAUUACAGAAAUUCUUGUGCUUGAAUUUUAAUUACUGAAAUUCUGUGCUUGAAUUUUAAGCAGCAAAGCACACUCCCAAAUUGAAAGGCAAACCCAUUCAAACAUCAUACAAAUCAAGAGGGAUAAUACCCAAAACCAUUCAAGAAAUCAAAACCAAGAGGGCUCGGGCGCUCCUUUUGUUUAUAAAUUAAAUUUUGUUUUUGUUUUAUGGUUUAGAAAAUAUUUGGAGUUUUUGGGUUCUGUUUGGUAGGCAAGAAAAUUUCAACAGGAAGUUGAGAUUUUGGAUGUGGAUUUGGUUGGGGAAGGAGUGGUUUUUGAGGAUUUUUAGGCGGCGAAGUUGGUUAGAUGGAAGGGAGGAGCUGGUGGGGAGGGGGUGGGGCAGUGAUGACUACCCCAAGUGGGUUGGUUUGGGGAGGGAGUCAGGUACAGAGAAAGAAAGAGAGGGAGAGAACAGAGAAGGGAAGAGAGAAGUAAUGUAAUUUAAUAAUUUUUUUAAAAUAAAAUAUUUUAUUAUAUUUUUCACACGUGACACUUACAUGGCAUAUAUUUUAACAAAAGAACGGACCUGUUGUAAAUCAGUUGCGAAGCUUCCCCCCCUAGGAAGCUUCCUCUUGUAUCAUAUCAAUAUGAUGGAGCCCAACCAAAUGCCCCAUUUGUAUUCCUACAUAUACUCCCCCUCCCCUACUUGUAAAAUUGACAAUCGGAGAAUACAAUUAGAGGAGAACACAAUCUGAUAAAACUGAUCAAGAUCAGUUUUCUCCAAUUUCCCUUUCUCUCAAUUUCCUCCUCAAUUCUCUCUAUUUCAUAACACGUUAUCAGCACGAUAUUGUCCGCUUUGGGCCCUCCUCUUGCCCUCACGAUUUUGUUUCUGGGAGCUCACGAGCAACUUCCCAGUGGGUCACCCAUCCUGGGAUUGCUCUAGCCCCCAACUCGCUUAACUUCGGAGUUCCUACGAAGCUCUUGUCACAGAUGUGGUGCAAAGGGACAUUGGGUGCGCACAUGUCGUACGCCCAGGCAUUUGGCGGAUCUCUAUCAAGCUUCACUUAAGAACAGGAAAGUGGAGAUAAAUUACAUUGAUCAUGCUCCGCCAGCCACAGAUGGCUCAUUAGAAAUAUCACGUCAGCUAAACAAGAAGCAUCUAGAUGUUUCUGAUUUUGUUACUGAAAGAGGGAAUGAAGGUUAUGUGUCCGAAUUAGAUUAAAUUCCUUAAUAUACUACUUGUAUUAGCUGAAGUGUUGUUUAAAUUUCAAUCCAAUAAAAGUGGUAAUGUUUUCUUCUUUAUUAAUCCAGCUUAUUUUACUUAUUUGGUGGCAUGGAUGCAAAUUAUGGAUGCCCUCAAAACAAAGGCUAUGACAGAGAUAUUUGUCUCGCAGACAGCGCAACUACUCAUACGAUCUUUCAAGAUCGGAAGUAUUUCUCAAAAUUAAUGCUUACAAAAGCAAAGGUAACAACCAUAUCAGGUCCUGCAGAUCUGAUUGAAGGUUCAGGAAUAGCCCAAAUUAUGUUACCGAAUGGAACAAUACUGUCCAUUCCAGAUGCUUUGUAUUCACCUAACUCCAGAAGGAAUCUGUUGAGUUUCAAAGAUAUACGUCUGAAUUGGCUUGGGUACCCAAAAGCAAAGAAAUGCUUAUAAUCGAUGCAUGCGCAUGCACAUGAGAAUGGUGGGAUCAUGAAUUGAUGAAUGACAAUUUUUGGUUUUGGAGUAGCUACUCAAAUCAUCAAUGGGCUGUGUUGAUUGGAACCACGUUCAAUUAUUAAAUGUCGACAAUAUUAUUGGCCAAAAUGGAACGAGGUAAUUCCAUUAUAAAUGAGAAUGAACGUGAAAGAACAAACCCACAGUACGAACCCCAAAAAGAUGUUAAUACUGAAAUUUAUACUUGGGUGUUCGGCAUAAAAGGGAAUAUACCUACUUUGUAUGACACAAUGUUUCUGGCAGAAACAAUGAAUGUUGAGUUUUCUCCAUAUUUACAGAUUCAAUUGUGCCCCCCCUUAUUUCACAAUUACGGAGACCAACAUAUUAUCUUUAAGGGUUAUUAAAUGCACGGAGCAUAUCGCCAAAAGCGAUUCCCUAAAGAUGUAUAAAUAGCUGGGUUAAAGCUAUAUAAUGUGUCAUAAAGUUUAAUCCAUCUUGGUGCACAAAAUUUGUACUCAAUAUUAAUAUGCAUAAAUUACCUCAGUGAGUACAUUGAUGUGAUUGCAACACAUUAAAGAUUCUGCAGAAUUCACGAAAUAUUUGUCUCGACUUAAGGAUCGAGCAUUGUGCCAACGAGAUUCUUGCUUAUACUAAGAAAGUAUUGAAGCAUUUUUAUGAGGAUUAUCCGUUGGUCCUUAAAUAUUUUUCCGGAAGUAUACUAGACCAGAUAGAGCUCAGCUCCACACUGUACUCUUUUUCCCUCAUCCAGGUUUUUAUCCCAUUGGGUUUUUCCUGGUAAGGUUUUAACGAGGCAGUGUCGCUCCAGGGUUUAGGGUAUACUAUGAAAAAUUUUAUGGUCGCUUACUGGACAAAAGCUAGUCCUAAAUUUUUCAGGGGGAGAUAUUCCUCAGGGGGAGCAUGGUUUUAAUAAAGACCUCCAUACACUGUACUCUUUUUCCUUCAUCCAGGUUUUUAUCCCACUGGGUUUUUCCUGGUAAGGUUUUAAUGAGGCAGUGUCGCUCAAAGAUUGACUCACAGAAGCAGUGUCAACUACGAUAUUCAGAAAGAUGAUCAACAGUAUGACUUAAAGAUAUUUUGCCAAGCAUCAGGGGGAGCGCACCAUCAAUAAAGAUCUUCAAACACCGUACUCUUUUUCCUUCGUCCGGGUUUUUAUCCCACUGGGUUUUUCCUGGCAAGGUUUUAACGAGGCAGUGUCGCACGCGCGCCAAUAUACUUAGAAUUUUAUGUUACACAUUAUUAUGUACUCUUUUUCCCUUUGACCAGUUUUUUUGUCCCACUGGGUUUUUACUGGCAAGGUUUUUAACGAGGCAUAUUCCGUAUCAUUUGUGGUCUCCAAGGGGGAGUGUUGUAAAUCAGUUGCGAAGCUUCCCCCCCUAGGAAGCUUCCUCUUGUAUCAUAUCAGUAUGAUGGAGCCCAACCAAAUGCCCCCUUUGUAUUCCUACAUAUACUCCCCCUCCCCUACUUGUAAAAUUGACAAUCGGAGAAUACAAUUAGAGGAGAACACAAUCUGAUAAAACUGAUCAAGAUCAGUUUUCUCCAAUUUCCCUUUCUCUCAAUUUCCUCCUCAAUUCUCUCUAUUUCAUAACAGGACCCUAUUUGUGUCACAUCAGCAUUUUUAACAAAAUUUUUGACAGAGUUAACAAUGGGAGGCAAAGUGAGCCUCAAAAUCUUGGUCAAGGGGGUACUCUGGGUCACUUUAACUUUCAAGAGAUAAAGUGAGAUUUGAUUAUAGUUUCAGGAGGUACUACAGUAAAUAAGCCUAAAAAAAAUCAAAUAUCAUAUAGGAUUAGGAAAUUGAAAACACAAGGAGCCCUAUUUCAUUGUUUCUCUUGUUAAAGGAUAUUUUUUUUCAAAAAGUGAAGUCUCGGGUAGUAAAGGCUUUUCUUGGUUUCCACCAAAGUUGAUGGUGAUUGAAUGCCUCCCAACUCUAUCUUGAAUUGGUUCUCCAAAUCUCUAAAGAAAGUUACUACAAAGUUUCUUCACCAACAAGAGCUUCAGAAGAAGAUGAUGUACCUUAGUGAGAUGAUUAUGCUAGCAAUCUCUCACCAAGAAGACCGGUUUUUGCAACGGUUGAAUGGGAAAGCUAGAGCAGAGCUUAUGUAACACCUCGAUUCAAUUUUAACCAUUUAUUAAAUCUAUUUAAUAUUUAAUUGUGAAAUUAUAAUUUUAUCCUCGGAGUAAAGUCACGAUGGUCACUUUUCGAUCCAUAAGGAUAUUGGGGAUUUAAGUGGCACCGUUGCGUAGAGCGCAUCGAUACGAGUUUGUAGACACGUAGUAGGCCUAAAUGGAAAAAAACUUAGUGAUAAAUCGUGUUACCCAUAAGUCAGGAACAUAAAUUAAAAGACUACUUAUAAGUUAGGAACAUAUAUUAAAAGACUACAUAUAAGUUAGAUACGAAAAUAGACAAAUAAAAAAUGUAUGUUACCUAUAAAUAAAAAAUUACAUAAAAUACUAUUAUACAUUAUCGAAAAUAUGAAACACACACACACACACACACACACACACACACACACAUAUACCUAUGCAAUAGGCAAUAGAAUAAUAUACCUACACCAUAGGAUAAUAUAUCCACAAGAGUAUGUAAUAUACAUCUACCAUAUGGUGAACAAAAAUAAAAAUUGUUACCAAUAACUCAUGUGCUAAACGAUGUGCUACUGUAUUUGCUUCCCUAAAACACUUGAACAAUCAGUAAUUCCAUCGCCUGAAGGCAAGAGAAGCAUCAUAAAUGGCUAAUUAUUAUCACAUAAAGUACUAUUAUCCGAUUCAAAGCAUAAAGGGCAACAUUGGAACAAAAAAUGAUUGAAAAAUAAAUAAAUUAUAUUACAUCAUAAAAUAUUUAAAAACGAAUGUGAUUCUAUGUGGCACAAAAGUCAAAGAACUUGUAUCAAAGUCACCAAAUCCAAAUAUUAAACCCAACUUCUCAAUGGAAAUUUGAAUCUAUAUCAAAUUUUCUAUUAACUAAUCUUAAUUUUGGCUCCAAAAUACACAAAAUAAGUUGUUUUUAACAUUAAAUUUGCCAUCAGGGAUUUGACCGCAAAUAUAUUUAACAUCAACAAGAUACCCCUCCAGUACAACUGCCAGUGAAUCUCUCUUCUAUGAGAAUUUUUUUAAACAAUGACCAAUGAAUCCACCAAACAAGUUUAUUUCUUUUCGAUGGAAGUUUUAUUUUCCCAGAAUGUACGUUACGGUAAUAUGUGGAAGUAUCAUCAUAAUUUCAUAGAGUCAUUUGGUAUGAAUGCUAGAUUACACUACAUGAAAAUGAAAACGGCUCUUCUGCUCAUAAAUGAAAUGUUCCAAAUGUUCCUAUAAAUUGUUUCUCCCAUUGGACUAUUUGUAUCUAUAUGCAUUAGGAUCCCAAUUUUCUUUAAUCUCUCAGUUCGAGAAAUAAAAAUUAGAGGAGAAGCGAUCCUUGACAUCAACAAGAUGCUCAUCUUUAAGAUAUUUUCCAUUCAGAGUCUGCAUAGCCAUGACUUGCUGAAUAAGUCUUCACAUUGUUGUGUCCAACAAAGCCUGGCUCAUCAGACUUGAUUUCUUUAACCCCACUACCCAUUGCUUUGGUCUCAGAAAAUUCCCAAAACAUAGUCCAACAACUCAAGUUUAAUGCAAAUGUUAGGUCUACAGCUACAUGUUACAAUGUAUAUAUCUAUAAUGUACCAUGUGUUAUAGUGAAAUCUACUGAACGCGAUCAUGGGAAAGGGAUUUAAUAAACCCGUCUAAGCUGAUGACGUUCUUUCUCUUUAAAAACUGGGAGUACCAGUGAGCAGAGAGUUUGGGUUGUCUUCUU
Molecule: long non-coding RNA, 72216 nt
Filed under: Prunus persica (peach)
Lineage: Eukaryota; Viridiplantae; Streptophyta; Magnoliopsida; Rosales; Rosaceae
Description: long non-coding RNA (PPER_LNC006078)
Source: RNAcentral